CGGCGGCGGCGGAGGAGGAGGCGCCGAGGUGGAGGUGGUCGUAGUCGGCGUCGUCCAUGUCGGCGUCGUCGCCGUCGGCGUAGUACUCGUGCUCCGUGGUGUGGUCUUGGGGAUCCAUCGGCGGCGCCGUCGCGGGAUGAUGUUAGGGUUUUCUGGAACUCUUCGGGGCGAUGCGAGAUCGAAAUAGAGAGUGCGGCGAAGGUUACGUCGGUCAAAGAGCGGUGAGAGAGUCUAAUCCAGUUCGCAUCCGGAUCCCGAGCGGUAAAUGAUUUGGCGACCCAUGUGGAUAAUAAGCAGAAAAAAAAAAAAAAAAAAAAAAAGGUAUUUUUGGCACUUAAGGAAGGCAAGUGAUAUUACCAUAUUACCCCUUUCAUCGUACCAGAUCACCUAAUAAUAAGAGUCUUUUAAAUAAUAAAAAUAAAAAAAUUAAUAAAUUAGCUCUUUUAAUCCUCGUUUGAAUAUUGAUCUUGAAUCAUUUUCAAUGAAUAUUGAUCCUCGUUUGAAUAUUGAUCUUGAAUAUUGAUCUCGAAUCUUUGUUUGAACAAAAGAUGUCCCUAGCUUGCUUUACAAACGACAAGCAUUUCACUAACUCUGUGAUCUUGUAAGAGACACAAACAUUAAAUCGAUCUAUAACAACUUGCUUUAUGGUGUCCUCUGAUGAACGAAGGUUACAAAGGACACCGACACGACCAGCUCAAGCUAAUAAUUUUGGAAAUAUAAGCAAAAAAUGUUACUUGGGUAAAUGCUAAUUCUAGUGAAGGCUCCUCCAAAGUACAGAACAAACCAAUCCUGUUCUUGAACAUUAUCAGCGUGGAAAGCUACGUAAGGAAACAAGAUAGUAAGUAAACAAAGAACGUGCGUCGAAACAGUACAAGACCAAAACAGACAAAGCAUCACAAAACAUUUAAAUAUGACCAUGGUGGCUCUCUCAAAGAACAGCAACUCGAGGUUGUUCACUGGAAAUCCACUUAGCCCAUGUCCCGUUCCGCUUCUUUCUGAGUCUUUCGGCAAUGGCGAAAGCCAAUUCUAAUGACUGCGAAGCAUUAAGCCUGGGAUCACAGUGCGUGUGGUAUCGGGAGCUCAGAUCAUCAAAUGUGACCGCCUUUGAUCCACCGAUGCACUCAGUUACAUUCUGACCGGUCAUCUCGAGAUGAACGCCUCCUGGGUAGCUUCCUUCUCGGUCAUGAACAUCGAAGAAAGCCCGGAGCUCAGACUACAGAUACAAGUGUUAAUCAUAAUUAUGUCAGACAAAUUAAUUUUAAUCCCUAAAGCCCAAAGGGAUUCACACAGAUAUUCCUGCAAUAUAAUCUAAUGACUUGUACACCCUGUAAAAUCCAAAUUUUCAUAAAUGCCCCUCAAAAGUGCCAAAAAAACACUUGAUUUAGCGUGCAUGCAAAUGCAUGCAUGUCUGUGCACGCGCACUAAGUUUUUGGAGGACGUAGAAUUCAGAUUUUGCAUGGAUAUAUUUGCAAAUAAACAAUGUUGUAUGACAUACAAAUACCUCAAGCCCCAAAGAUAAUUUAAAUUUGUUGAGGUAAAAGUUCGUUCUUACUCUGAUUGCAUCAAAUGCGCGCGUCUUUAAACCACAUGGAGCCUUCAUGGUGUUCCCAUGCAUCGGAUCGCUAACCCACGUAACUAUAAGCCCAGCUUGCCGCACAGCUCUAAUCAAAUGGGGAAGCUUCACCCGCAUGUUCUCAGCACCCAUUCUCGUGAUAAGUGUUAGCCUUCCGGGCUUAUUGUGAGGGUUUAAGAUCUCACAUAAUUUGACAAGCUCAGAUGGAUCAAGUUUAUCACUCACCUUCAUAGAAUUAUUUACGAAAGCCGUGUCAAACAGGUACAAAUGAUAGCAACUAUAUACAAGAUAAUAAAAGCAUCAUUAAAAUGAAUGUAUAGAAAGUAGCCGGUAGCAUAAUAAUGUCUUUCGAUGAUCAAUAGAAAAAGCUGGCUGCAAAGUAGCCUACCAUUAUGACAGAUAUGUCACACCAGAAUGAGAAAAGAGUUAUACAGUUUACACUGCACAUUCUCAUAUUUAAGACUGAUUAUCUAUCAAACAAAACACCCUCUUGUUUUGAAUGAUAUAUAACUCAAACUGGUUGUUGGGGCUGUAACAUCUGAAGUGCCCCUCAAAAGCUUUUGACUGCUAAAAUCUACCCGAAAGAUUCCUGGCUGAUUAUCAUUAGGAUAAAACUUUUAAUGCCCAUGUUCUUUCACACUAUUCACUGCCCUUUUGGUGGGCACAAGUUGGUAUUGUAUAUUAUGAAGAACAAUAUUUUAAUUGAUUUAAGCAUUAUAGUUUGAAAUUAUUCAGUUGAUUCAGGAUAUGGACAUCACCUUUACGCCUAACGGGUUGGCCACACCACGAAGAAAUUCAAUAUGGGAACCAUCCAGUUGUCGAGUCCUCUCACCGACCCAAAGCAUGUGAGCUGAACAAUCAUAAUAUUGGCCAGAGGUUGAAUCUUCCCUUGUCAAUGCCUGCUCGUAAGGAAGGUGAAGACACUCAUGUGAUGUCCAAAAAUCAGUCGUCGUCAUUAUAGGAUGGUUAGCCGUCAGACCAGCUGCUACCAUAAACCCAAUAGCAUCAUCAACCCUCUGUGCAAGUUCCAUAUACCUGUUCAAUAGCAUCUACCCAAAGUUACAAAAUUAACUCAUCACAUUGCAAAUCAGCUAAUAAGAAAGGAAACAACCUUUGAAUUUAACCCACUUUAUGGUUUCUGCAAUUUUGGGAGAAAUUUUUUUUUAUGGACUGGAAAUCUCUAACCCUUGUUGCAAUGAAUCUGUACACGAUGGACAUUUUUGCCUAAGAAAGGAUAUUUUUUCAAAUCAAGAAAAAUAUACUGAUGAGGCAAAAAAACUAACAAACAGUGGAUAUUCAUUGUAAACUUGCGAAAAAUAAUCCUGUUCACAGAUGUCUUUCAGAAAUUUCUGAUAUAACAUACAUAUAAUCAUUUAUCUUCACCGGUGGAUCAUCUUAUUUCUAUCCGCUAUCAACUUUUGCUGUUAUUGUUAUUUGAGGCGGAGACCUCACACUUAAGAUUGCAAGAGGAAUGCUUCCAGCAUGAUAGACAAACAAUUGAAUAUCUGCAAAAGAAUAAAAAAAAAGAAAAAUGCUAACGAGGACCAAGCACCUGUCUCCUUGUUCACUAUGCUCUACAAAAUCAAGAUUCCACCGUGUAACUCUCUGGAUUGAUGCAUAGCCACCAGUAGCAAAUGCUCUGAGAAGAUUGAGAGUAGCUGCUGAUUGGCUAUAUGCCAUAAGCAACCUCGUCGGGUCAGGCUGGCGAGCUUUCUCAUCGAAAAUAUCACUAUUAAUGUUAUCGCCCUGAUAGCUAGGGAGUGUCACGCCAUCUCUACUUUCAGAUGAACUGGACCGGGGUUUAGCGAAUUGGCCGGCCAUCCUUCCAACCUAAUGCAGAUGGUCAAAGUUUACAGAACGAUUUAGCUAUAAGAUCAAGUAGAUUAAAAUAAUACUUCAUUGCUGAAGAUAUAACAGCCUCAUACUGCAAAUGAAGAAUCAUGCAAAAUAAAAAGGAGAUUGCCAUUCUAUGACUCAUUAAAUCAUAACACAAGGAGUAAACAUAACAUUCCAAGCUUCACUAUUCCAUUCAAACAGCUUAAAAUACACAUAAAAGAAGCACGUGCUCUAUUUGCCCAAUGUCAGCGGAAGCAGCUGAUCACAGCAACGGUCUGCAAGACAGACUAGGCAUGUCAAAGAGAAACUAAUCAAAAAUGGAAUUAUGUCACACAUGAAGAAGCUAAUAGACUACUUGCCUUUCAUCUAAAAAGCAGGCAAUCUGAUGCACAAAGUCCCUGUUUCUUCAACGAGCACAGUGAAGUUUUCAUAAGAUGUAAUACGGAUAUGAAUCGAUACAAUCCAAUUGUUUUACAAGUAGACAUGAGAUGUAAAUAUAGGUGGGAUUGUUUUGAGAACACAAAAAAUGAUAAUUUUAGACAGUGGCAAAGCGUGCACUGAAGCAAUACCGUUUUUUUUUUUUCAUUUCUUUCUUCACAAACAGUAACCAUAAGGAAAUAGUUUGUAAACACCAUCACUAAUAAAAAUAGAAAGUAUGCCGCUCUUUAAUUCUUUUAACCUGAGAACAUAGUAGGGAAAAGCAAACGAAAGGACAAAUUACGCCAAUUCGGCCCUAAAAAUAUCAGGACAAAUGCAAAUAAUGAAAAAUAUUGUUAACAUCUAAGCUAAAGAAUCCAAAUCAUAAACUAUGUCACCAAGAAAUCACGACCAUAAAAGGGAAAAAGCGACCUUGAUGAUGGGCAUCUGUCCUCCGAAGGUAAGAACGACUCCCAUCUGCAGCAAAACCCUGAAAGUGUCUCUAAUGUUGUUCGCAUUGAACUCCUUGAAGCUCUCGGCGCAGUCUCCGCCCUGAAGCAAGAAGGCCCUUCCCAUGGCGGCCUCCGCAAGCUUCUCUUCCAACUUCCUCGCCUCCCCCGCGAAAACAAGGGGCGGGUACGUUUCCAGGGUCCGAAGCACUGAUUGGAGCUCCUCCUGGUUAGGAUAGGUCGGGAUCUGGAGCACCCUCUUCGAUUUCCAGCUAUCCAGCGCCCAAUUCGCCGAAGGAGAGGAUGAGCUAGCCAUUGACGCGACGCGAUUCUUAGGGAGAGGUAGGGUUUUCGAAGAGGUGGCGGGUUUCGGGGAGAGGGAGGCGGCGGCGGCGGCGGCGGCGGCGUUGAGGUGGCUGCCGAGGGAGGACGAGAGACUCGCCAUGGUUGGACGGGAUUGGAGAAUCAGGGUUAGGGUUAGGGUUUCGGCGUUUUCGUCGACGACGAGAGCCUAGGGGUCUCUGCAGCGCCCCGGGGGUUUCAAAUGGACGGAGCUGCGGGGAGAUGACGAUGGGUAACGGUUUUGUGGGGCGCGUGGCUGGGAAGGGGCGGGAUCCCGUCACCGCCCACUGAGGAGGUGAGAUUUAGAGACCGUUGGAUUUUGUCCACGUGGAUGUUUGGUUGGGGGACCCACAGAAAUAGAUAAUUUUCGCAAGAGAGAAUGUUACCCGGGUUGACCGGGUAGAUAUUCGGUGAAAUUUCGAAAAGGUCCUGUGCUUUGGUAAGUUAACGAAGUAUGAUACUUUAUCAUUAUAAUGUGGUUUAGAAGUAUUAUAUUGCAAAUGCAUCGUUUUCUUUUUCUUUUUUUUUUGAGAAAUAGAUAGCACGCUCCUCGCUUUAUUUAUUUUAUUUUGAAAUAAAAUUAUCUGAAAAUGUGAAUCAACUAGGAUUCGAACUUGAGACUCGCAUACCAACCACCAAACACUUUACCACUUCCUCUAGAAACGGUCAGUAAUUAUAUCGUUUUCUUACAUCAAAAGAUAAUUAAAUGCUACAACUUUAAUUGGAACUACAGAAUUGUAAUUUGUUAGUAGUAGUGCCAUAUAAAUUUCUUGAAGUUUCAUAUGAUUUUUUUGUUUUUUCGUGCAGAGCUGUUACCAUGGAUAAUUUCUUCAAAUGAUAGUCGUUUGAGGUGUUAGUUAUAACGACUUGAAUUGUGAUGUUUUCGUCCAAUAAUUCAAAAUUAUCAAAUAUUUGGGAUUGAAAAAGCUCAACAUAAUUUCGAGUAAUUAGUAAACAAUGACCAACCACAACCCAAUAAGACCCAAUAUAGGUUGCCCAAAUUGUCAUAUUAAUACCUCAUGCACAAACCAUACAUAAAUCUCCGUUCUAAUAAAAUUGUAUAUACGAAGGCUCCCAACACUAAUGGGAAUUUUAUAAUAAAAACUCUGUUAAUAUUAUUUUUUUGAAGACAUUUGUGCAUGUCUUUAGUUGUUUUGAUAUGACUAUCUUAAUUAAUUAGCUUUUUUUUUUUUCUCAUGAAUUCUGCGAAUUUGAACAAGUUAUAUGGAACGAAAAGUUCAUGGUGUUUAACGCGUGAUUUUCUAUCUAUUCUACUAAGAAGGAGAAGGGUUGCAGUAAUUUAGUAUUACCUUUCAUGGUGUUUGAACGAAGAGUUCAUGGUGUUUGAACAAGUUAUAUGGAACGAAGAGUUCAUGGUGUUUAAUGCGUGAUUUUCUAUCUAUUCUACUAAGAAGGAGAAGGGUUGCAGUGAUUUAGUAUUACCUUUCAUUUUAUCAGGUCUUGCUUCCAAUCUAAAAGGCUCCCCUUUUUCUAUUCAGUAAGGUCACAUAAUCUUUCUUAUGAGAAAAAGGUAGCACAUUAUUUAUUUUAUUUAUAUGAAAAAUAAAUUCAAUUAUAGGAGUUGAGACAACUCGGCCUGAAAAAAGUUAAAAGCAACAAUAUAUAUAUAUAAAAAAAAGUUCACAUAGAGCUGUAAAAUUUAGUCCCUCUCUUUUUGGUCUCGAAGAUCUGAAGAUUGAUUUUUGAAAAUCACAUUAUUUAUUCCCGCCAUAUGAAUUUUGUGCAUUAUUAUUUCAUUGAAGUAGCAGCAAGAAGAUCUAUUCACACUGACCGUUCCUAGAGCAAGUGACAAAGAACUUGAUGGUUGAUAUCCAAAGUCCCAAGUUCAAAUCCUAGUUGAUUCACAUUUCCGGCUAAAUUUAUUUUUAAAUAAAAUAAACUAAACGGAUAACAUGUUAUCUAUCUCUUAAAAAAAAAAAAAAAUCAAUUCACAAUAUUUUUAUUACAAUAUUGAUUAGCACAUGAAAGUGACCUUGUUGAUAAAUCAAUGCCAUGACCACUGCAAUGAUUACUAAAUAUUUAAUUUCCAUAAUCAUAGUAAACUAUGACUUCAAUGUGCGCGCGCGCGCGUGCGUAAUAUUGAAUUAUCCCAAAAUUGUUUCAUCCUUACUUUACACUUUCCUUCAUUCCAUCCUCCCCCCCCUCUCUCCCAAUGUAUAUAUAUAUAUAUCGGGUCUCAAAAUCUGCACAUAGUAGAAAUUUUUGUUUUGAUUUAUCUCCUAUUCUCCUCAAAGAAAAUGCAUACCAACACAAUUGGAUGUUAGAAAAAUUAAGUAGAAUGUCAAACUGCUAAGAUUAUAUUCUUAACAAACUACAUAAACAGGAUAAAUCGGGUUAGAUUCAUUGCAUCCUGUUAGGACUUGUUCAAUCACUCCACAACAUAUAAGAUGUUAGAUUUUAAUUUAAUAAAUACAACAUCUCAUUACUAUAUAAUCAACAAAAUAAAUACAGAAACUGACCAUUCCUAGAGCAAGUGGCAAAUGACUUGGUGGUUGGUAUCCGAGGUCCCAAGUUCGAAUCCUAGUUUUCCAGCUAAAUUUAUUUUUAAAUAAAAUAAAUAAAACGGAUAGCAUGCUAUUUAUUUCUAAAAAAAAAAAACAAAGUAAAUGUAGAAACUGUUGUAAAUCUUAUUUACAACAUGUUAUAUCGUAAAUAUAUAACACUUUUUUUUAUCAAAAUAGAAAUAAAAAUUAGUUUAGAAUUAUAAAAUUAUAUAAUAUAAAUUAUUAUAUUUAAGACUAUAAUGUAACGUGUUAUUAUUUACAUCAAAAAUCUUGAUUAAAAAAUAGAAUAAUUAUUGCAUUAAAUAAACGGUCCCAACAGAAACACGGCAAAUGCAACAGCUACACAUAACAAAACACAAGAACGUUCGGUGGACCCCACGUAAUCUCCACCGUUUAUGCGGUUAAGGCCGCAUAAUCCCAUAACACCUUGGCUUCAACGCUUGUCGAACAAUUCCGAUGCGACGGAUACGUCGUACGUCUCAAGAGUCGUAAGCACGUGAAUUACGAGGCAAAUCGGGCGGUGACAAAUACCACUUUACAAUUUUUCAUCAAUCUCGGAUCGUCCGAUUAUUCACAGUAGGGCCAAAGCCGUCCGUUUAACCUCAGUUCGCCACGUGUCCCUAACCUACCGUACGAUACACGCUGAUCUCGGCCGACACGCAGGUACACAACCAACCCCUCUCUCUCUCUCCUACUCUCUACCCCCUAAUCAGCGAUCGCUCGUCCGCCGUCGAAAAACCCCCUGAAAAAGAAGCAAAAAAAAAAAAAAAAAAAAAAAUCGACCGUACGAUCUGCGCUCGUCUCUGUCGCACGCCCUAUAAAGUGCCUCCGCGUUCCUCCCCGUUUCUUCGGCGAGUUUCCGUGGGAUUUCGUCCGGUGCGUAUCGCCCCCCUUCGCUGCCCCUAUUUCCAUUUGGGGUAGGGUUAGGGUUUCGGUUAGGAUUAGGGUUUUCCUGUUAAUUUGUGAUCAUUCGAUGCCGAGAAGAUGCUUGUUCGAUCGGUUUUCGUGAUUAUGUUUGUAUUUUAGUUUGUUGGGGAGGAGUUGUGGCUGGAUUGGAGGAUGGAGGAGACGAUGGCGACAUGUGAUUUGGGAGUUUUGUAGCCUUGAUCGGAUCGAGAGCGGUUCGGAAAUGGGUUGCUUCCACUCGAGGGAUAAAGGGCAAUUCCCAGGUUACGAGGAUCCGGUGCUUCUCGCGUCCCAAACAGCUUGUAAGUGUCAAAUUAUUUGAUCUUUGUAUGUGUAUUUUGAUCUUAGUUUGAUUGAAUCGCCUAUCGUACGGUGAAAAUCUGUAAUAUUGGUGAUGAAUGGUUGAAACUUAAGUUUGGUCAUAAUAAUUUGGGCUGGUUGUACUUGGAUCCGUGAAGAAUGGCAUGAUGAUGAUAUGGCGCGAUUGUGUGUUGUAUACGUGCUUGAGACCUUAAAGUUUGUUCGCUUGAUUUAAUUUUUGAUAAGCUGACACUGUAGGAGAUUAUCACUCUGUUCUGUGGUUGAUGCACUACUAUGGAUCAAGAUAAGAAUCCUUAUGCUUUUUUUUUAUUUGGAUAGUUCAGAUGUACUGUGUUAGUUGGUGUUACAGCAUUGCUUGUGCUUGUAUUGUGACAAAAUGUUUUAUGUUGUGGAUUUUAAUAUUGUAGACAUCUUGCUCUAUAUUAAAUAGUGUUUUUAUUUUGUCACCAACUUUUAUCAUGUUUUCUAGUCAGCGUUAGUGAAGUUGAAGCACUGUUUGAGCUGUUCAAGAGCAUUAGCAGUUCUGUGAUUGAUGAUGGUCUGAUAAACAAGGUAACAUUUGAAAAUAUGCAUUAUGUUAUUAUGUACCAUGCUCAAUCAGUUAUUUUCCUUUCUUUAGUUCUUGUUACCAUGUUUAACUAUAUAUUUUUUAAGAAACUAUCGUACUCUCCAUUGGUGGCAAAAAGAAAAUUUUGCAGCUUGUUUAAAUUUAGGGCUUUAGUCGUAAUCUAAGAUGUUCAAGUUAUGUUGAAAUUUCUCCCUGUUUUAUUUUUUCAACUACGUCAUGCUUCUCGUUAGGAAAUUUGAUUUUGUAGUAUUGCAAUCAACUUUUAGUACUGACUUAGUAUGUCAACGAGCAAGAAAACUUGGCGAACUUUUGAGCUUGAGCUAGCUCAUAUGUUAAAAAAACCCUAGAUCAUGGUAGAAUUAUGAUCAAGUAUGGCUGAGCUUGAAAUAACUCAAUUAUGUGUUUCAAGUUAUGAUGAUUUUUCACACAAUUCUUGUAAAAUGUGCUGAUUUUGAAUUUGCACCUACUAUGAUGUACAAGAAGAUGCUAAUUUCUAUAGAGGCUAUAUAUAAUUAUUUCGCUGGAUUUAAUGAGUUAUAUGUGAAACAUAGACUAUUUUUAUAGUGAUAAGUUACUAAUUAUUGUGAUUUUUAGAUGUGAAACAAUCGUUUUGGGUUUGGCUUGGUCUAUCAUGACUCAUGAGCCAGCUGAAGUACAUCCCUUGAAGAAGAACAAACGCGGGAGUGCUUAGGAAGCCAAAUGGUGGGAAUGUUGCUGAGGGGUUGAGAGCUGUGAGGUCGAGGGUUAGAAAACGAAAGAGUGAGAAACGAAAGAGGGAGGCAAUCGAUCUUAAUCAAUGGGCGGAUUGAAAUUUGGAAAUGCAUAAUAAUUUCUUGAGAAUUCCAAUGAUUUAUUUACUAUGUGUUGUGUGCCGCAAGUAUGUUCUUAUGGUCCACUUGCCUCAAAAGGCUUGUAGAACCUACAGUGUCCUAAAAUCUGGAUCAAGGUUUAAAGUGCCGCAGGUAUUGGGGGGGGUGUCCCGCCGUGCCGCGGUACACACCUGCAUAUCGCGCGAGACAGCGUGAUACACGAGUGAGUGCAGUGGCACCGUGUCGUCUCGGUAUUUUUUUUUUUUUNUUUUUUUUUUUUUUUUUUUUUUUUUUUUUUUUUUUUUUUUGGUACCCGAAGCAUUCUAGAUACCCCACAUCCCAAAAGAUAUUGCAAAUCGAAAAUCUAUUUAUUAGGUAAGUCAAAAAAAUUAUAAUUUAUUUUUUUUGUUUUUCAAUAUACGCGCAAAUUCUUAAUUUAUCACCACUGACAUCCAUUUUUUCUUCACAAAUUAUUUUAUCAAAAUUUGUCGCACCGUAAAACUUUUGGCAAAUUAAGGAAACAAAAUCGAACUCAAUAAACAAAUUUUGAGCCACAUUAAACGUAAAAUUUUAUUUUUGUGUUAGAAAAUUUAAAAUACUGUUAAAAUUAAAAAUUAAAUUAAAUCAAUUGAUACUUAAAUUUAUUUAAUUUAUUUGUCAUAUAAUUUAUUGCUUAAUUUUUUUGAUAUAUCUAAUAAUUUUUUUAAAAAAUAAUUAAAAAAUAAAAAUUUCAAAUAAUUUUUAAAAAUUAUUUUAAAAAUUAUUUUUUUGUAUUUAAUAAAGAAAAACUGUAAUAUGAUCAAAAGAAAAGAAAGAAAGAAAAAUAUCUUUGCAUUUUAAAAAUUAUAACAUGUAAAAAUUUUUAUUUUACAUCAGGAUAGUUGUACUUUACAAUAAAAAAACUUAUAAGUAUAUUAAUUAAUGAGUAUAGUAAGCUAUACAUAGUAAAUAUUUAUAAUUAUUUGAUUAAAUCUUUUAAAAUAACGUUAUAAAAGUUUAUUGGAAUUAAAAAAACUAAAAUAAAUCCAUACCAAAGUGUGCCAGUAGGAGGUCAUGCGUAUCCAUCGGCACGCAAGCGUACCAUGUGUCGGUACGGAAGCGUGCCGGUGCCGUACCGUGCCGUGUCAGGCAGACAGCGGCACACUCACAGCACUUUAAACCUUGAUCUGGAUGAUUCUUUUUCACUACUACUAAUGAGAUUUGAUGUUUUAUCGAUUAUAUGAAAUUUCAGUUUCAUAGUUAUUGCAUUUUAUGCUUGGUUUUAUGGCUAAUAAUCAGUAUGAUUGUUUAUGUUAUCUUGUGUCUUUCAUAAGUUUGAUAUAAAUAAUAACUAGGGACUCGUGUCUAUUUUCAUGUGCAGGAGGAGUUUCAGCUUGCAUUGUUUAAAAACAGAAAAAAGGAAAAUCUUUUUGCAAACCGGGUAUUGCUCCUUUUAAACCUUCAGCUUUCAGCUUUAAGCUUUAUGCCACAGGAUAGUUUAUAGUUAUGAUGCAUAUAUCUCAUUGGCCGUGUCUGCGGUGUGGAUUGCAAUAUUGACCAAUACCUAGUAAUGCUUGAUUAUCUCAACUUUGUGCAACCAACUGAUAUUGUCUCUUUUUUAUUUUAUUUUUUUUCCAUCUGUUGGGAAUAGGGGGCUGAUUAAAGGGCUUUUGAUGCAUCAUCCUAUCUUGCUGUUCCUGUUCUCUUUACCUCUUUUCAAUUUUCUUUUACUUUAUUCUUCUUUGCACUUCAAGAAUUUGAUUCUUCCUAAUCUCUUUUCUCUAUUGCUAGAAUUAGUCAAUCUAGUGUAGUUGUGAAUGACCCAGUCGGCGAUCAGUUAUUUGUAAUUUACUUGAUAGGCAUUUAAAUCUUGUCUAAUGAUCUUGCUAUCUUUUUAAGUAUUUGAUAUAAGGCCCUGUGAAGUCUUUAAUUACAAUAAAUGCAGAUCUUCGACAUGUUUGAUGUCAAGCAAAAGGGAGUUAUUGAUUUCAGUGACUUUGCCCGAGCUCUAAAUGUAUUCCAUCCAAAUGCUCCUCAUGAAGAUAAAGUUGAUUGUAAGCUGUUAUUCACAUUAUAGAGUUUGAUGAUUUAAUAUGAAAAGCAUUACUUUUGCUAAAAUGUUGUGAAUGAUUGUACAGUUUCGUUCAAGCUUUACGAUAUUGAGGAUACAGGCUUCAUCGAGAGGAAAGAGGUAUUUUAAGAAAUUCUUUGAAUGGCCAGUGAUGUUGUUUGCUUUAUCUCAAAAUAUAGAAACAUUGUUCUCCUAUCAGCAAAAAGUUAGGGUUAACUUUUAGUGGAGGGUAUGUAAAUUGAUAAUCUUCUAGAAUGCUUCUCUGUGGGUUCAAUAUAUGUGCUAUUAUUCAAGUGAAACAAAAUAGCAACUUCCAUAAUACAGGAUUUUCAUUACCUUUUCUUAAAGUUAUGUGGUUUACAGGAAACAAAACCCCAGUACAUCUGGAAUAUAAUCACUCGUGGAAACAUCAAUAUUCUUUAUAAUACAUAUGCAAAUGAAAAUGUAGUUCAAGUUUAGGUUUCAUAAAAUAACAUUUUCAAGUUUAGGUUUCAUAAAAUAUUACUAUUACUCACAGAUUUAAUAUCUUACUAGUGAAGUAAGACAGGAAAAUACCAAAGCUGCCAAAUUAAACACAAUUUACCCCUUUUUUAAACUAUGUUUGGAAACAAAAAUCGUUAGGUUAAAAGAUGUUGACUUUUUCUUCUUAGAGAGACAACUUUUGUCCUAGUUUUCUAUCCACUCUUUAGUUUAGCUUAUAUGAAUUCAUGUUUCUUGGUGGCAAUCUAUCUAUCUUAAUGAUCAUAAGGCAUAUAGUUUGGUUGAUUUGCCAAUAUAGCUAAAUGAUUUGCAUGCUACAACAUUAAUCUAUUAUAUUAUACAGGUCAAGCAGAUGCUUAUUGCGCUUCUAUCAGAAUCAGAAAUGAGGUUAUCUGAUGAGACUGUUGAGACAAUCCUGGACAAGGUUUGCCAGAAUUCUUGGAUUUUCUUCUGUUAACUCUAGUGUAAGUGCACCGUCAAUAAUACUUGAUUUCUCUCACUAAUGUUCCCAACUUUGAGCAGACGUUUUUAGAAGCUGACGUGAAUCAAGAUGGGAAGAUUGAUAGGGCAGAAUGGGAGAAUCUUGUUUCCCGUAACCCGUCAUUAAUGAAGAUAAUGACCCUGCCAUAUCUCAAGUAAGUACCCUGCCUGAAAAGUUUUUGUAUAAUUUCUCUUAUCUACUUGUGCAUACUUAACCUUCUUGGUCAAGUUUCUUCCACGGCCUUGUGUAUACGUUGAAAACCAAAUUGGCUACUAUUGGAAUGAUCAACAAAUUGAGCGAGAAUUAAGCCGCGCGUGUGGAUAGUAAGUCACAAUAAAACAUUUCGUCAAUCAGAAUAAAUAGGAAAUUUUGAUUGGCAAACUAUUAUGAGGAGAGUCAUGCCCAGUGUACCAGACAAACGAUUAGUCUGUGCCUCAAGAAGAAUCAUGCACAGGAAUUACAGAUUUUUAAUAAGACGGUAACAGUUAUUAAGCAAUAAAAAUAGGAAUACAGCCAGAGCGUGUAAUCAGCGGCUUCCUUUUUCCUUGUGAAUAAGGUAGCAUCCCGAAUUGAAGCUGCAAUCCUUCCUGGAUGUAUGUAUGUUUACCCAAGAAAAGUAGGGAAAAGCUGAAAAAUGAAACCUAACUAAACAGGACCAUUUGAAUUGGAGCUGCGAUUCCUCCUUGUGUAUGUGUGCUUGCUCCACUCAAGCAGGCAAAAGCUGAAAAAUGAAACCUGAGCAAACUUGACUAUUGGAAUCAAAGCUGCAACUAUCCCCCUAUGUGUGUGUGCGCUCUUGAUGGAAUAAUGCGCUCUUGAUGGAAUAACGUAGGGAAACUCUGAAAAAUAAAACAUGACCGAGCUUGACCGUAAAGGCUGGCGUAACUUAUAAAGCUCCCGCUACCCCUUGCAAAUUAGCACUAACCCUCUUCUGUUCUCUGAUCAAUAUUGGCAGGGACAUAACAACCACCUUUCCAAGCUUUGUAUUCAAUUCCAAGGUCGAUGAUGCUGCUACAUGAUCUAUUUGAAGUACCAAACAGCGAAGAAAGAAUACAUCUAUAGAGUGUGUUGUGCAUCAUCCAAUUUUUACAGCAGUUUUAUUGGUAGCAUAAUACUUUUUUUCUUUUUGUCGACAAGGGGCUUAAAUGUUAAUAUAAUAAUUUUGGCAGAAGGAACUGUACUUGAAUGUUAAUAUAAUUUUUUGCAGUUUCUAUUGAGGAAAAGUAGCUCUUAAUUGGAUCAAUCUACAAACUGAUAACAUUAAAAUGGCAGACUUAAUGCUUAUUGUAUACAUGCUUCACGCGUAUGAUACCUUCUGUUUUUCUAUGAAUACAGAUAUAACGUUGCUUGCAACAAGGUCAGACUACUACUACCCCCCAAAUUUACUUUUUAAGAAUGUUUUAUAUUUUUACCUUGAGACAACAAAAGAGGAAUUAAAAAACAAAAGCACUACAUUUUUUUGGUGAGGAUUGUUUAUGCUCCGGUGUCAACGUAGCAAGCACCAUUAAUCCCCCAAAAAUCAAUUCAUACAUACAAAUUAUGUAUCAUAUAAGAACCAAACUCACGAAUAAAGGUGCGGCUUUAGUCUUAUUUCUUUUUAUUGAAUGCCUGCAUUAUAAGAUAUCACAUUGAACCAAUAAAGACCCAUUUGACGUAGCCUGAGAAUCAGAGAUAGAGAGAGACUGCACUUCAGAGGGGUAGAGAGAGAGAGAGAGACGGAGAAACAGUGCAUUUCAUCAUAAUUCACUCGGAAAGAGGGUGUACGGGGUAGAGAGAGAGAGAGAUCUGUUUCACUGGUAUCAAACUUUGACCAACAAAAUAUAUGAAACAUAAUAAUAGUUAAUAUUAAUAUUAGUCUUUACAAUUUGCAAGAUACAUAUACCAACAACCUAUGGUACAGUAGUUAGACACCAGGGGUUCCGACGAGUCGAACCGAGAUCUGAGUCCAAAAAUGCGGCUUCACUAGGGGAGGUGGGGCAUUUGGCGGCCAGAGUUAACCUACAUACUUGUUUUCUAAAUAUAAACUGAAAAAAAAGACAUCAAGAUACAUAAAUAUAUAUAUACACACCACGCUUAUCCCAAGCACCAAUGUAAAUAAGCCCCAAAAAAUCCACACUUGCUGAACACAGAAGAGGCAUAAAAUCUCUUAAUUUAUCUAAUAAUAUUUAACAAGGCAGCUUAAGGUACAUAGUUCCCAAUGCACAAAUGUGAUCAUUCAGUAACAUGGAUUAAUCAGCACUCAUUUAAUUCAACAGAACAAAUGCCAUAAAGUAAAUUUAUUUAACAACCACUAAACUAAUUUGGAUAAAGUUUUAUCACAAAGGUUAACUAAAUUUCAGCAUAGUUCACAAUAACAUGUAUCGAAUUUUGACAAGAUUAAGCUCAUCCUUACUCCAGUCCCUAAGGAUGUGACCGACAUCAACGACAAGAUCUAUAGUUUUCAUGGCUCCGUAUCUUGCACAUAUAGCUAACAAACAAAAAUCAGUAUGCACAUUUUAAUGAUUGCAAGCAUGACACUAGUCCCAAGUCAAAAUUGCAAAGAAAAUAGCAAAAGAUACGACGAUUGCAUUAAGAAAAUAUUUUCUUAAUGACACAAAGAAGUUCAAACAACGCCUUAGUAAGUGUCUACCAAAGAAAGGAAGAAGACACCAUUAGGCCAACAACAGACUAUGAUAAAACACCUGCUCGUUGGAAUGCAUUAUCUUAAAAAAAUUGUGAUUAUUUGGGUCCUGCGAUGGACUAAUCAGACUUUUAGGUUGCAAUGACAACAGAACCUAUGGUGUCACAAUUAAUAAUAACCAAUUUUUUCAAGCAGCAAAAUGACCGUGAAGGGUACAUACGGGGAUGAAAGGUCCGAACAGAAAUAUGCACAUUAAUAUGAGAUCGAAACAAGACGACACAGGAUAGAAUAGUAGCAAUAGCAAAGAUAGACGAAUAGUCCUACAAGCACUAGCCCAACAGUUAGGUGCAUCAAGUUCAAUGUAAAAAAUAGUUUAUGCAAAUUUCUUGUCUCAACAGUCCAUAAUCAAGGAUAUAAAAACUGGAUAAUAAAACAUGAGGAAAGUCAGAAAUAGCAUUCUUACUUAAAACAAAAAGAAGAAACAAACAAUUAACAUAACCUAAAACUCUGAGCAAGAGAGAACUGAAAAUUGAAGGAAUAGGAAAAGAUUCGGUUAAAAGGAAGAAGUACAGUUCCAUGCAGGAGAAAUAUGUGCCUUAAUAACAUCAUAUAUGCGCAUAUAUGGAGAAAAUAAUUUUCUUGCAGCAGCAUACAGAGCAGGAAACACUGAAACAUAUUUUCAUUUUGGAAUCAAUGAGUAGCACAAGUUCUCGAUAAAAUGAGUGAAAGUUGAAAUUAUAUGAACACAACUUGAGAACCGAGUAAUAAUACAGCAGCUACCAAAAAUCUAUAGACGAAAUAAUCUGUAGUAAAUGAUGGAUUUUAAAUGAUAGAUUUUAAAAAGCACUACACAUUGCCUCCCGCAACAAGUUGGUUCAGAAAGAAUAAAUCAUCAUAUUUUGGAGAAUACUUUCUAAAAAACAACAUAAAGCUAAGGGUUUCUGCUAAAAAUGCAAACUUCUGAGGAAAAUCAAGUAACAGCACCUAAAUAUAUGGAUCAAUUGCUAAAUCCUAGUUAAGGAAAUUGCACUACCACUUCCUAAAACUUCCUAAAAAAACCCAUCUACCUUUUCUACCAAAAUUAUAUAGAAAAAAUAAAAAAAAUUACUACAAAAAAUUUUGCAGGCUAAUCUUACGAGUGUUGCAUUUUGUUUCCACUGAGCCCAAUAACACUAAUGGCUUUCAUCCAAGUUUAUGCAAUCAGAACUUUCCAAGCAAUUUUGGUUCAUGACAGCGCAGGUUUUAUCGUCUUGAAACCCAUAUAUAACAGGUAGAACUGAUGAGCUGCAAAAGUUAAAGCCCUUCUGAUGGGCAACUGAUAACCCUUGAUAUUUGCUCUCCAAAUCUUGUACAAAUGAUUUGACAACGUCAGCAGUCAGAUUCGCGAUCAAAUCAAUAUACUCCGUACAAUUCUAUUUUGUGACAAGAACCAACAAUAUACACGUAAAUGAUGAACCGCAGCCCAGACUUUUCUUCCAACUGGUAGCCAACAAUAGCCAAGCUACGAUGCCCAAAGACCUUGAUACUCUAGGAGCAUCUGUAUUGGUAUCCAAUAUACCAUAUUGGAUACGACAUUCAUUGAAUAUUUCAUAGAUAUGUGUCAGAUACUUCUAUGAUUCUGCUAUUUCUCUUAAAGGUUGAAAACAUGGAUUUCAGCUUUUGAGAUGCAUCUUGGAUAAGAGAAGGGAUUUACUCGAGUCAUGAAUGACGAGAAUUCCACAAAGAUAUUCCAAAUUGAAGCCACCAUGUCCAUCACACAAGUCCAGUUUUUUAUUAUAAAAUAUCAAAAGAAGACAUUGUAGAUGCUUGAGUUGAGUCAUACUAUCAUAGGUUGCUAUGUUAAUUUUCCAAUCAAAUAAAAACAAGCACAAAGAGUUAAAAGUUUCUAACAUGAACAUGCAUUUAUCAGCAUAACCUAUGUGCCCAUGCAUUUGUAUGAAAGCGCUGUUUCAUGUAUACUUCAAUCUCUGUUUCCAUGAGUUUCCAACUCCAUAUUCACAAUCCAUGUGCAUAUCUUCUGCAUGAAACAUGUGCAUAAGAAAACACAUUCCUGUAUCCUACAUCUCUCAUAUCCUUCUUUUUGAAGAUUUUGUCAUAUGUGUAAGGCCUGUAUCUUCUUGUAUUCAUAUCUCAAAUCCAUGUCCAUACAACAUAUUAGCAUAAUGACAUAAAGACCAAUUGUUAUCUUUUAAAAUCCUUUCUCUGAUAUUUCAUAAUUAAUUAAUUUUGUUACAGCUCAAUGAGCACCAAUAUUUUUUGGCUUCCACUAAUGUUGAGAUUUUCAAAGUUUUCAAAGAAUGUCAAAGAGAAUUUGCUGAAGUAUACCAAGAACCAACUUAUGAAGGCAAGAACUUAAGAUAACACAAAAGGUUAUGUUUUUUUUUUAUGAGCAAUACUUACUAGGAUAAUCAUAAAGGCAGUAUACAGGAAGUGACAAUUCCAAUGUCAAAUCCCAUGAGAAACCUCUCCACUUUAAUUUAAUCAGCAUGCGCCAAUGCUCACAACUACUGUGCACAAAUGGAAAGAAUUACCAGCCGCAAUGUGCAAGGUUCUUAAAACCGAGCUUUGAUCCAAAAUUUAGCCUUGCAAGCCUUCAACCGCACCCUCUUAUAUCAAUAAGAUGCUCAUAAAAAUCUUAAUGCCAAAAUACUUCAAUAUCCACCCAUAGAUGUCUUGGGGUAAUAGGGAAAGUAUGUUAUCAGUACAUAGUACACCAUAACUUCCUGAUGUUCUCCACGCAGAUCUAAUAAGUCAAACUCCUUUACAUAAAAUUAAAAAGGCUGAAAAUCCAUAUGCAACAAUUGCCUUUACCAGACCUUAUGAUCCUUUACUUCACGUCUAAACAUCAUAAGGUUUCUCUCUUUGAAAUUCAGGCCCUCUUUCCAAAUGUGUAGGCAUCAUAACUGGGAGCUUCAAAAUAUCCACAGCCUACACCAACCCUUCUUUCAUUGAAUAAUCUGUGUCAUAGAAGGAAAUCCAUAUGUGAUCACAAGGGCCAUACGCAUCAUGCAGGCCAGAUAUAGAAAAACAAGAAAGGGCUUCACCAGGAGGAACUAUGCCUACAAGUAGUAGAAUCAGCAGAAAGCACAAAAUGAUUCCUAAUACAACCGUAAAGAGCAGAAGAAGGGUCGACAUAGAGNUUAGGGCAUAAGAAUUAGCCUGAGCACCUUAGUAAUAGGAACCAGAACCACUACCACCUAAGUACCCACUGCUGCCUAAGCUACGACUGGAAUAGCCACCUAAGUAAGAGCUACCACCAACCUGGCCCAAAGAAAAAAGAACAAGAGAAUAUAAUAUGCAUAAAACCAAAAAUGAUGAAAAUAGAGAAGAUGCUAACGAAAAGCUCACAUCAGAUCCACGGGCCACAUAACUAUUGCCAUAAUUGGAUGAGUACAUUCCACCAACAUCACUGCCGCUAACAGAACCUGUAUAUAGACUAAUUAGUAAUGUAGCAACCGCAAACACAAUUAUAUGGCGAAAAUAGCCAGAAUAAAGAGAUAGAUUGCAGCAAACCUCCGGAAUAAUUCAUGCCAUGACGACUGCUGUACAUCCCAUCCUGACCAGAUAUAGAAGAACGGCUGCUGCUAUAUCCCACAUGAGACCGUCCAAGCCUAAUGAACAAGAAAGAUAUUCAGCAUACUCGUUGAUGGAAGAACUCAAAUACCAAUGCCUACACCUUUUAAGUUUUAACAGACCUGUCCCCAUAAGGAUCAGCAUAAUGAGAACGGCUGCUACUAACACCAUAGUCUACACGGGCCCUCGAAUGGCGGAUGCUCACAUCAGAAUACCGAGGAGGGGCGUCAUCCUUAAAAUUAACAAGAUAAAGAAACAUUGAUAAGAAUCAUUAUAAUUCAGCCCCUGAAGUUUCAUGUUCUUUUCAAUUUCAUUUUGUAAUUUCAGAUGUAAUAAUUUAUCCUUGAAGUUUGUCCUACAUAUCCAUAAUGCCCUUCUGUUAAUCUAUCAUCUAAAAGGUGGCAGAAUAGUACCAUGCUUGAAAACUUUGCCUUGCUACAUUUGAAACUCAAUAAUGAAAUCAGGGUCAGGAGUGAAUUGCUAAAAACAAAAGUUUGAGGACCAAACUGAAAUCAAAUUAAACUUCAAGAUCAAAUUGUUACAAUUGAAACUCUAAGGCACUGGAUCAAACUCCAUGUAACAAAAUUUGUAGCAAAAUCAAUCUCCAAUUACAAAAACACAGUUAAAAAGGUGAAUAACACUCACUAUUUCUGCAUAUGGGCGUUUUGAUCCGGAAAUUGAAUCAUACUCUCUGCCGCGCCCUUCCCUGUAGGUUGGCAGAGGGCGAUCAAGCUUCCUUCCAUAGCCAUCAUCGGGGUAUGCAUGCCUGCUUGAAGUACGAGAAGCACUACGAGAAGGUGGUAUAUCGGAGUAGCCUGAUCCUCGAGAUGAAUAUUCAUCCCUAUAAGACGAACGCCUCGCUAUUGGAUCUCUGGAACUGUACUCUACAGCAGCAGCUCUGCUUCUGGCAGGAGGCAGCUCAACUUGCCUACCAUAAUCUCUCCUCGAACUGACCUUGGGAUAAGCAGGAACUGCCCAAAAAGAAAAAACACAACUAUGAAAAACAAUGCCAGUGAGCGCUUACAGAACCAAUCACGGAGUUUUAUAUAGACUUGAAAUAUGGCAUAUUUACACAUAUACCACCACCACAAAAUUAAAAUUUUCAUACAUGCCUAGAAAGCAGCCUGCUACAAAAAUUCUGAUUUUAGAGGGGUAUAUAUGUGAAUAGAUGAAUUUGCAAGGACAUAUUAAUCUUAUACAUAAAAGAAAAAAAACCUGGUGGUCUUCUCUCGUAGGUCCUCUCUGGAGGAGGCAAACGCCUUGGUCUCUCUGUCACAGCCAAAACAGGCCGCCUAUCUCUAAUACUUAUUGGUCUCUUGAAUCCACGGGCCCCAAUUGGUGCACCACGAGCACUGAGAGGUCUUGAAAGUCGUGGAGGUGGGGCCCUACGGGGUGGAGGACGACCAUAAGAUAAGCGGCUGACUCGAGGAGGCCCUAGGCCAAUCCUAUAAUUACCUCGUAGACUACGUUUCCCUCUACCUUUCUGGUGCGGUCUAGACAACCUAGCCCUAACUUUUACCUAACACAACAGAAUAAAAAAUCAGUUAAGUUGCCCAAAAACAUAACAAACCUUGAUGAAGAUACCUGAAUCCUAACCUUGUUGUCACCUUCACCAAGCUCAGUAUUGUUAAUACUGUCCGCGCAUUCUACAGCAUUAUCAUGGGAAUCAAAAGUAACAAAUCCAAAAUCCUUUCUUUUCGCAGCAGGCAUGUUACGAGCAAGUUCAAUCUUUUCGAUAGCUCCAUAUUUCUUAAGGUAUCCGCUGACACGAUUUUCAUCCCAUCCAGCAGACAAACCAUCAAUAAAGACAGUUCUGACCUGGAAUUAACCAGAAAAUCAAGUAAAAAUGUGAUAGAUUUCUGGUCCAUGAAAAUUCAUAAACUGAUCAAAUAUUAAACAUAAAGAAAAUUGAUAAUUCUGAUACUUGAACAUUUUUAAGAAUUAAAGAGAGCAGGGGGUGCAAGGGGGAGGGAACUAAUAUAGAAACAUUCAAGUGUGCCCGAGAUUGUUCAAGAGUGUAUCAAAUUGAUAUAAAUUCCCAUAAUUAUUAAUGGACUUAAUGUCUCCAGAGAAGGAAUACACACAGCUACAUUACAAAGUGCAACAGCUUCUGGACAAUUUAUACCUGCGCCAUGAUUUCAUCAUCAGGCUCAUGAUAAGAAUCUGCAAAUGAAACUUUCGCAGAUCUAUCUAAGCCAAGAACUACAUCCCUUUUCUGUAGUCGCCUAUAAGCAUGCAUCGCUUCUGAGCGGGAUGAAAAUUCUAAGAAAGCAAAUCCACGAUUUGUCCCUUCCUUGUUGCCAUCCUCAACCAAAGUCAAAUCCUCAAAAUUGUCAACUCCGUAACUCUUUAGUUUCUCUUUCAACUGCAAGCGUGCAAAUAAAUGAGAACCAAAAACAAUAAUCUGCACAGAUGAUACUGACAGAACAACUCAACCAAGCCUCCUUACGUGUUCUUUAGUCCAUGUCUUGCAUAUGUUGCCCACAAAAAGGGUGUCGCUGUCAUGACUUGGGGCAACCCCACACUGCUUACCCCGCACCUAACCAUAUGAAGAUAUUUAUUUCCAUGGGCAUGAAAAUAAUAUAUUAGAAAGAGAAAAUGAGUGAUUAGAUGCAGAGCACAAACCACUGGAUUCCUAAUCUCUGAAACUGCACGUUUUGCUUGCUCUACAGUUGCAAAGCGCAAGAAGGCAAAGCCUUUAUUCUUCUUUGUAAUGGGAUUCAUCAUUAGGCGAACUUCAGUAAUCUCCCCGACUUCACCAAAUACUUUCCUAAGAUCUUCUUCAGUUGCAUCCCUAUCCAGACCACCCACAAACACUUCAUACUCCUUGCGCUUGCGGUGCUCCUUUACUAUUUCAUGGUGCUCUUCCUCCUCCGGAUCAACCUCAGGUUCCUCCUCAGCAUUUUCAUCAUCUUCCUCAACCUCCACACCUUCACCAUCUUCCAUCUCAUCCACCAUCUCAGGAUCUUCCUCUUCAACCACAUCUCCUUCAUAUUCCUCCUGUCCUUCAUCAUGGUCUAAAUCCUUCUCAUCAUAGUCUACAGCAGCAUCUUCUUCAUGUUCAUAUUCCGGUUCGUUGUCCUCCAACUCUAACCGUUCGCCUUCAUCCUCGUAAGCUUCUUUAACGUCUUCCUCAUCUGACGUAACAAAUAUAUACAACUGAUACAUUGGAUGAAGAAGAGAGAAAAAGCAAAGUAAUCUGCAAACAACAAUCCAUCCAAUAUAGCAUGAACAAGUGAAAGGUUCGUCACUUUCCUACAUGCAAAUUCUUACGCACGUUGAACCCUGGAAAAAAUUUCAAUGAAAGUGCCUUCCAGUGAUACAACCUCUGUUCUUUGUUUUAACAUAUAAUAAGUUUUAAGUAUAUAGAAAUCAGUGACAUGUGCAAGCGAACUCUCUAUUUGACCCAUCAAUACACGAAGAUCCUCCUCAUCAAUAUAUUCAAAGGUCCCAUCAGAAGUUACGAUUACAGAAAUUUGAGGUCAGCUAAACCAACAUGUAAUCAUAUUGUCAACUCAGUGUAAAAGUGGCCCUGAGAUUGCCGAUAAGACACAUUCCAAGCACCCUGAUCUGCUUAGCUCUCAAAAACGUUACCAUAUUUCAAUGUGCAGGGUAAAUUAAAAUCUAAUUUCUUUUACCAAUUGGGCAGGGUGGGAAGAAACUGUCAUCUAAAGAAAUCUUAGUUUUUUUUUUUCACUAUUGAACAUUAUUGUUUAUUUAUAAUCAGAAUUAUUUCAUUACAUACAUAUUAAUACAUUUCAAUUUACAACAUAGGUCAUUUUGCAGUAUCUUGUUUGUAUCAUACCCCAUCUAUGCUUUGAUCUAGUAAACAUUAACAUUUGUAAUCACCACGAUGCAGAUUUAGCAUCAACAACAUGCUGUUUGGUCUACUUUUCCAGAUAAAGAAACCUCGCAGUCUAAAACAUCUGACUGAAUAAAUAUUAACAGAUGAAAGCAUAUAUACUUUUUGACCAAAAGAGUAAAAGCAUAAGAUUGCAUGGGAUGUAUAAUGCAUUAAUUCAAAAGAAACAAAAAUACGAAAUCAAAGCAACUGAUUAAAACAGUAAAAGUGGGUAAACGAAAUCUAAUUAUAUGCUAAUGCAACAAAGAAAAAGGCCAAACGUAGCAAGAAAGUGUAGAAUAUGCCGAAGGAGGUGAAUUUUCAGCAUAAUAAUCAGCGCCAAUGAAAGGUCCAAUUGCAAAAGAUCCAAUAAACCUCAAGAAUUAUGAAAAAGGCACGAUCGAGAGGGCAAGAAUCCAUACAUUCUACAUCGACGGAGCCAUUGACCGCCGAAUCCGUCACCGAGGGCUUAUCAUCCUGGACGACCUCCUCCGCCUUUAUCUCCUCUUCCUUCGCCUCGAUGACCGGCGCCGCCACUUCCUCGAACUUGGGGGGUUCCUCCGCCGCCUCCGCCUCCCUCAGCGCCUUCGCCUUCGCCGCCCUCGACCCCGUCCUCCUCGGCCCCGCGGACCAUCCAGACCCCUUUCUCGCCGAUUUAGGCGGCAUCCUCUCGAUCAAAUCCCGCUUUCUCUACACAUAUCGUAGAUCGUCGUCAAUCAGCAAGAAAAUCCUAGAAACGGAUCAAAACCAUGAAAUCAAGCAACAGAAUCGACGAAAAAGUAAGUGGGAAUCGUUCGCCCAUACCUCGUAGAGAGAUCAAAACCCUAGAGAGAGAGAGAUAGAGAGGGCAAAGAAGCGAUGCCUCGAAACCCUAGAAGCGAUGGAGCCAGGUGACACAGAAACCCUAGAGCGCAAUUUAUAGGACCCGGAUCGUUGUAAGAGAAUCUACCCGAUAAGGUAUUCGACUCUGCCGAGGAAAAAAAAGGACCCGCUGUUAUCCUUUAUAACGUUAAUGCCACUCAGAGUCGUGAUUACGAUAUUGGGGUCAUUGAACGCUUCUUAUGCUUUGGAGAUCAGGGGUAUUUUAGUCAUUUUACGAAGGAACGUUAACUAACUCGGAGUCGGUAAAUGGAUUCCUAUGCCCAGGCCCCAGGUGCUGUUUAUUUUUACUUCUUUUGUUUUUUUGGCAAAAAGGUAAUCGAAUAAAAAGUGAAAAAAAAAUCACGGAUAACCCCUUCGCUAUUUACGUAUUAUAAUAAGAUCCUUCUUCUUCCUUUUUUUUUGUACUUAUAAAUGAUUCGAUUUUAAACUUUCACUGUUUCACAUGACUUUGGUCUUUUGCUCUUCAAUGACUUUCAUUAUUUUAUAAUUUUUAGUUAUUUUUAAUUUAUAUAGAAAUAAGUGAAUUGUUUAUGAGUUUUUAUAAUACUAACAUCUUUUAUUACAACCAACUGUUACUAAAGCAAGUGGCAAACGCCUUGGCGGUUAGUACUUGAGACACAAGUUCGAAUCCUAGUUGAUUCACAUUUUCAGCUAAGUUUAUUUCUAAAUGAAAUAAACGAAGCGGGUAGCGUGCUAUCUAUCUCUAAAAAAAAAAAAAAAACAUCUUUUAUUAUAAUAGAAUUUUUCAACUGCAACAGUGAAAUAGACUUAUUUUAAUACUUUACAUUCGGUUAACUAUUUUUUCAAGGGAAGGAACUGUACAGUUUAAAAUUGAAGAGGGUUUGUAGCUUAGCUUUAUAGAGUGUCCCAUUCCUUUUCAUCUCAAUAAGACAUAAGUGAAUGAGGAUGUUUUUGCUUUAAUUUUAAGUGUUUACUAAAUCACAAUAAGAGGUAAGUUCUAAUAUUCUGCCAUCUGCAUGUCACAAAUUUCAGAUUUCAAUAGAAUAGAAUGCAGUAAAAUUAAUAAAAUAUUUAACAUAAUUGUAAAAUUUUUUGUUGCAUUUUACUGGCGGGGUAUUUAAAUUCGAGUUUUAUCUCUAUCGAUCUACAAACGCAAAAGUUUGUAGAGCUUUUGGUUGCUUUUACCAAAAAAGUGUUUGAAACUUUUGCUGCUGCGAGAGAUGAAAUAGAAGAUUUUAUGUUCCACAACUAAAAGCUUUAAUUUGAACCUUCUAUUUGUGGAAGUCCAGCCGAAUCCAAGUUAAGAUAAAAGGAGCUUUUAGUGUUUGAAUAAUAUAAUGUUAUGAGCCUUCUCUAUGUAAUGAUAUAAGCACCUCAUUUUCCUUUUUUGUUAAAAGAUGCAUCACCUUAACCUCACCUUAUCUUUCUUAAUUUCUCCAGUAUGCAAUAUCUAAAUUUCACCUUUAGAAAUUUCAUACAUAUCCUCGUUACGCAGAACUCGUGACUUAGUCUCUUAGCAUAUUAAUACGCGCUAUUCUUGAUUUAGGAUGUCCGAGUAAUGCUGCUUCCCCUCUGCUCUUCUUCGAUGUACAGUAAACAAGCGAAGCAAGAUAUUGCGUAUCGGAGCUAAAUUGUAAUAUCUCUCUUCCACGACUCUUUACAUGCUCUAUGUUCAGGCCAUGUGACUGUUGAGCCAUUAAAGCCUCUCGAAGUUUCUAGAACGGCUUUCAGAUCGGUAAGCUUUGCACUUACGCUGCGACAGCAAUUUGCGUGUACAGUUGUCACCUUCUUAGCAUCUGUGCUGUCGGAACAGAAGCCGCUGAAGUAUGCUGUGUCCAAGAACCUCACCUUCACACCUAACUUCCCGAAUGCGCCCUGAGAUAUCAUAUGUCUCAGCACAUCUUGCUCUUUCAUGCCUUGCGAGUUAUUCCUCGAUCCAUACCAUUCGUCGAAUAAUGCAAUGGUUUUGUUAUUCGAAGCAACGAAGAAGAAACCUGUGUUAACGGAGUUAUUACUGUCAAAUGGCCGGCCGUUGAAUCCAUCGCAGCUUAUUUGCAAAUCUUCCUUAUAAUUGUUUAACUUCGUGAACGGGUUUUUCAGCCAAACAAUAUCCAUAUCCUAUAGAUGAAGAGAAAAAGUAUGUUAAGAAGCUAUCGCGUGGAACUCUUUUCGAAGUUGUAGGGAUGAUAGAAUAUUAGCUUCAGUGUUUUUAACUCACUGUGAAAAUGAAGUUGUACCCAUGCUGCAGAACAUUUCUAAGUAAGAGAACCCUUUGCCACAUCAUCUCGAUGAAACCCUCGGUCAUGUAGAGCUGUUCUUUGGAGUAGUUUCUUCCCAUUGUGUUGAGCUUGUAGCAAUUGAGUUUUAGAAGCUUGCAGCGAUCAAGAGCCGUCUGAUCUGCAGCGACAAGGAGAAGAUGUUUGAUCAAGUGCUCGGUAUCAUCCCCUUCUUUAAAGCUUUGGAGAAAGAGGUCUAACAAGCCAUUUUCCUCUGCAUAUGCCUUGUUUAGAAAAGUUAUGAUCAAGGUCUUGCUUUCCAUAGAAGCACUUUGUAGAGCUACCUCUAACUUAUCUUCUGGGGCGCGCGUUGUCUAGCACAAAUCAUGAAAACAUGUGAGCUCAUUGCUAAUUUAGUUAUUGGAAGGGUAAGAAACAAAAAUCCAUCAACUUUUUACUUACUGCAAUUUGACUUCAUCUAGUUUAAUUGGUGCAAGUAAGAUUACAGAUCUUCUCUUCGGUUGCAAUUUGGCCCACAAAGUUUUACUUGGAGAAUAUGAACUCAGUAGUCCUUCAAAUAUUUGUAAGUUCGACUUGACGCCAAAUGUAAACUAUUUGGUGCUAAAAUUAGGUUUGGUGCAAAACUCACCAUAACAUUAAAUAGAUGCUGAUCUUUUGUACCAUAGCAAACUGUUUGGGCCAAAUUACUAUAUGAACUGAGUUUGUGGGUUUUGAAACUGAAUAAAAUUUAGUGGAUCAAAUUGCAAAUAAGAAAAUUAGUUUGUUUCAUGAUUUUACCCUAUUUAUAAUUACUGUUUCUUGUGAUCCAGCCUUUAUAGUAUUAUAAGCAUCAAAUAUGACCUUAGUUCUCACCUCCCAUGAAUCAUGGCAUGCUUUGUGUGCAGGCCAGAUGAUAUUCGAUGUAGCGUCAAACGUCUUCCAGGAAUCAAGAACAGCAGUGAGAUCGGCGAUCUUGGCUUUCUUAGUACGGCAACAAUUUGCGUGGACGGUUGUCACUUUAUUGUAAUCCCUGCUGUCCGAACAGAACCCGCUGAAGUACUCAGUGUCCAGGUACCUCACUUUCAUUCCUAACCGCCUGAAUGCGCCUUCUGAUUUCAUGUGGUUCAGCACAUCUUGUUCUUUCAUGCCUUUUGAGUUAUUCCUCAAUGCAUACCAUUCAUCGAAUAAAGCUGUUGUUUUGUUGUUCGAGGUUACGUAGAAGAAUCCGGUGUUGAUGCCGUUGAAAUCGUCAAAUGGGUUGCCGUUAAACCCAUCACAACUAAAUUGCAUGUCUUCUGUGUUCUUGUUUAGCUCUAGAAAUGGGUUUCUUAGCCACAUUACAUCUGUAUCCUAAUAAUUAUGAAGAAAAGACCUUAGUAUAACUGUUCAAUGCAUCAUAGCAAGUAUUUUGUAAGUUCGAAGUAUGGUUGCUUAAAAUCAGACGCGAACUAGUUCCCUCGUAUUUAUCAAGGGGCUCGUUUAGCCCGGUUGCAGGCUUGCAGCAUCUGCAAAGUGCUGUCUAAAGAAGUACUAACAACUUUUUUCAUUCAAGUUCCGUUAACGGCUUCCUAUAAAUUAGAAGCGCACGGUUCGUAUUGCAGCUUCUACCUGUAGGCCCAGAAGCACAUUUCACUUGCUGUCGUUGCAAAAUCUCGAAACAUUUUGUUCGUUGAAUCUGCCAACUGCUUUUUCGAGUAAAGAAGCUGUUCUAGAAACAAAGCGAAGGGAACUACAUUCCGGACACAAACAUAACUAUAAAUGCUGUUGAACUUACUGUGAAAACAAAGCUGUAUCCAUGCCUGAGAACAUCUCCGAGAAAGCGAGUUCUCUGCCACAUCAUCUCGAUGAAGCCGCUGGUCAUGAAGAGCUGCUCUGUGGAUAAGUUUGUGCCCUUGCUAUUCAGCUGGUAACAAUGGAGAUCUAAUUUCUUGCAUCGGUCAAAGGCCGUCUGAUCCACAGCAACAAAGAGAAGGUAUUUGAUCAGGAAUUUUGUUUCCUCCCCUUCCCUUAAGCUCUUAAGGAAGAGAUCUAUCAUGCCGUUCUCCUCUGCGUAGGCCUUAUUCAGUACAGUGAUGAUCAAAGUCUUGUUUCCCAUGGAAGCACCUUUUAGAGCUUUUUCUAGCUUAUCCUCUGUAGCAGCUUUUGUCUGUCCAGGACCAAAAGAAAAAAGAAAUCCAUUAACUUCUUCUUGUCACAGUAUUACACUUUUAAUCCUGUGCUCCGCAUGACACAGCCGCGAAAUAUGUGUUCAUAUAUUAUACAUACAUGCAUAACAUGUGUAUCUGUAUCAAGUUAGAGAAAGGUUCUUAUAUCUAGGAUUGGAGAUUUUAAAAAUAGGAGUAAGUUUUUACCUUCCACGAAUUAUGACAUGCCGUGUGUGCCGGCCAAUUCACGUUCAGCGUUCCAUUAACAAAUUUCUUCCAAACUCGAAGGACUGAGCUCAAAUCAGAGAUCUUGGCCUUCAUGGUGCGGCAACAGUUGGCGUGGACGGUCGUCACCUUCUUGAAAUCCCUGCUGUCUUGGCAAAACCCGCUGAAGUAGGCCGUGUCCAGGUACCUCACCUUCAUACCUAACCGCCUAAAUGCACCUUUAGAUUUCAUGUGGUUCAGUACAUCUUGUUCUUUUACACCCUUCGAGUUGUUCCUCGAGGCAUACCACUCAUCAAACAAAGCUAUUGUUUUGUUACUCGAGGCGACGAAGAAGAAUCCAGUGUUGAUGCCAUUGAAAUCAUCGUAUGGGUUGCCAUUGAACAUAUCGAUGCUCAUUUGCAUGUCUUCUUCUCGGUUCAGUUCCGAGAAUGGAUUCCUCAGCCACAAUACAUCCAUAUCCUGGUACCGGAGAGAACAGGUGUUAAGAAAAACCAACUAAUGUUCUUUAGCAGGCAAAACUGUUCCAUUCAUCCAUUUUGGUGAUCAUAUGCCAAGUGCUAUAAGGAAUGCGCUAAACAUGAAACACUUUUUAGAGAUACUCACUUAUAUGCCCUUGAAAAUGAUCAGUUCACAUAUAUUAUCUCAGCAAAAUUUUGAAACUUUUUAUAUAUAUGCCCUACAGAAACUUCAUUUGUUGCCCUUGUGCCCGAAAAAUACUCUUUGAAGUACCUCUUUUCCAUGAACAAACCGAGUACUAGCGUCGUAAGAAACAGACACUAUCAAAGGAAAUGUGAAUACUCAUAUGUGAUAGAUUAUUUUGCAGGGGCAUACAUGAAACUAAAUUGCAUGCAAGAAGCUUGACGUAGAGGCGAUUUUACACCAGCUCCAGACAUUCUCGAACUCACCGUGAAAAUAAAGCUGUAUCCACGCUUGAGAACAUCUCCAAGAAGGCAGAUUCUUUGCCACAUCAUUGCGAGGAAACCCUCAGACAUGAAGAGCUGCUCUCUCGAGAGGCUCGUGUUUGUCGUGUUCAGCAGGAAACAAUGGAGAUUUAAGUGUUUACAGCGGUUAAAGGCCGUCUCGUCUACGGCAACAAGUAGAAGGUGUUUGAUCAGGGACUCUGUGUCCUCUCCUUCCCUUAAGCUCUUAAGGAAGAGAUAUAGCAAUCCAUUUUCCUCGGCAUACGCCUUGUUCAGUACACUGAUGAUCAGAGUUCUGUUUUUCAUGGAAGAUCUUCGAAGGGCUAUUUCUAACUCAUCUUUUGGUGCAGCUUUUCUCUGGCAACAAACAAGAACCAAAAUGCAUGAGCACAGUAAUUUGAGAAAAGAGAGAAAAUGGUACUGAGAUAAACAAGUUCCUUAAGUUCGUUAGGAUUUUCCAAGUAAUUAAAAUUUCGGUGACAUUGAGAAAGUUUUUGCUACCCAGGUACUCUUUUUUCUCCUCCUUACCUUUUUCCUUUUUUUUUUUAUUUUAACUUAUUACAAUAUUUUAUUUAUAUAUCAUUAGGGAUCUCCCCAAAUUUUGUGACCCAGUAACAGUUGGUCUGAUGUUCUUAAAUGAUGAUUUUGGCUACUAUUUGGGAAUGAAUAUGUUGGUUUGACUUAUGAGUCUCGAUACAUGCUUAGUAAAUGAGUAGCUACUUUUGUCGUAUAAAGGAGCUCAAAGGGUCAAUCUAGGUAAAAAUAUAAACAUUACAAAAACAAAGUAUAAAUGUGUGAGUUCGCAUGUGCAUACCUUGGUAAGAUAUACUGGGAUAUAUGGUAUGAAAGGGUUCGUAUCUUUGUCCUGAUUUUUAAAAAUAAUUUUUUAAAAAAAAUGUAAUAUGAAAUAAUAUAGGAGAGCAUGGUGGACUGUUUGUAAUUCUUACAUCCAUGAUGUUUGUUUGAUAAUAAAAAAUAUAAACUUGAAAGCAACUCUUUUUGCUUCUAAUUUUUUUUUUUAUAAAAACUGUCAUUCAUCACUUCGUUUGUUUGGCAACAAAUAAUAAAAUUAAACAUGGAAGUGAUUUUUUUUUGCCAAUUUUUUUAAAAAAAUUUGUCAUCCAUUGCUUAGUUGGAAUGCAAUUAGAGAGAAGUCUUUUUAUCAAUAUAUCAAAUUAUGUUGAAAUAACAUUUUAAAAAAAGUUGUAAAAAAUAACAACAAGACCAAAGAAGCUCAUACUUUACUGGUUAGGUGAAGUCAUGCGGAGAAACUAUGCCAUGGGAGAAUUCAAAUGUAGAUGCAUAACAGGAAGAAAACUAGAAAAGAAUUCAAACAUGCAAAUAUUGGUGACUCAAUUUUCUAAAUAACUAUUAAAGUAUAGAUAAAUAUAGAGAUAUUAGAAAUCUCCAAAUUAAUCUGCACAUUAAGGAAAAGAAAAUCAAUAUUAAUAUCCACCAAGUUACAAUCUCCAUUAAACACAUGCAUAUACAACUUCAAUUCACAAAGGAAAGAUCUACGGUAAAGUGAGACAUACCGUGAUCGGUACGCGCUGGAACCAGGAGAAGAGCACUGAGUCCUCCUUCGCAGGCCACAAGCAAGUAUAUGUGCCAGCGAAGAUCAGAAGAGAGAUGAUAACAAGGCCGACAAAGCGGUGGGAGGCGCGUUCCAUCCCAGUGAAACUCGUCGAGGAGGCCAUUUUCGGAUUUAAGGUGUUGAUAAACCUUCAAGGGAGGAAGAUGAACAAUAUUAGCCAACAUAUAUAUAAUUGAUCCUAUAUAAAGAUUUGGUCUCUCUCUCUCGAGCAAGGUGUGGGACUAUGGAUAGUUGUGUUUUGUGUGAACAACUAAUUUCAAUACGCUAGCAAGUACGUAGCCAAGUCAUGCAAGUUAGUCCCCUUCUUUGUUAUGUGCAUGCUUGGUGCAAACAUUUUUUUUCACUUGAGAGGGAGAGAGAGAGAGAGAGAGAGAGAGAGAGAAAAUGAGAGUCUUCGCUAGAAGUAACACAUUGUAAUGCAAGUUUAGUGGACUCCUUUGAUAUGUAAUAGUCCCCUUCUUUCUCUUGCUUUAUUCUUAUUGGCGCGGGAGUUAAAUUUAACAACAAAAAAGGUGUUAAACUUGCUUUGCGCAAUAAUUUCUACGCUAGAAAGAUACAUAGAGAGAGAGAGUGUGCUUAUGCUAGUACCUAAGUACCUUCCUUUGAUAUAUAAUAGUCCCCUUAUUUCUCUUGUUUUAUUCGCAAAUCAAUUCUAAAUGUACACCUAUAGAAUAUAGAUAUAUAUCGUAUAUGCAUUACACUUUCUAUUACUAAGAGUUAUCUACAAGUACUGACUGUCCCUAGAGCAAGUGGCGAAGGGCUUGGUGGUUGGUACCCGAAGUCUCAAGUUCGAAUUCUAGUUGAUUCAUAUUUUUAGCUAAAUUUAUUUCUUAAUGAAAUAAACGAAGCGGGUAGCGUGCUAUCUAUCUCUAAAAAAAAAAGGAAUUAUCUACGAAUCUUUUUAUUUCUUAUUAAUUUCGUUUAUAAAAAUAGGUUUUUUUAGAGAGAGAGAGAGAGUUGAAGUGUUUUUUUUUUUUUUUCCGUAUUUGACUCUCACGAACUUCUAUGUUCAUGAAUAAAGUUUUGGUACCUCAAAUCUUAAGCAACACGAUGUCAAAUUGCCGGAGUAUACGGGGAUACGUUUCCUUAAUUCACCCUCUCCCAUGCGAGAUGCCCCUGUUAUCACAUUCGCAUCGUGUAGAUCGAUGCAUCAAAUUAAUAGACGAGAAUUAAAAAUAUAUAUAUACAAUGCCGUAACUCUCUAUUCUCUUAAUUGACAUUUAAAUGUAUUCUCUCUCUCUUUUUCCUCUUUUGAGCAACUAAUUGAUACAAAGUUGUAUUAAGCGUAAUACGAAGGUCACGGGGGAGCAUGUGAUCAUGGUUGUAAUUAGCUCUCUAAUAUUAUCGUAACUGUUUGAUGCGUAAUAAAUGUUUGAGACGCUUCAGGAGAGAGCAUGUGACCACAUUAUCACCAAAUUAAGGAGAUUUUUUUAUACAAACGAUAUUAUUAGAUUUGGAUUGGAAAUUAUAUAAUUUCACAGCUACAAAAAUUGGUUCAUUUAAGGAAAAUCUAGUUUUGUACUUUGAUCACUACAUUAAAAGCUACUUCCAAGUUCGUAAAUUAAUUCACAUGCAAAAAACAAAUUAAAACUUUGGUUAUGUUUUUCUCAAACAAUGUUCCAAAAUUAUUUCGACAUGUGUUGAGUUAUAACAGAUAGUUUUCCUUAAUUGAACCUUUUCACUAUUAACCGAUUGAAUUUGACCGAAUUCAAUAAAUCUGAUAUGCUUUUUAUAAAUUAAAAUGGUAAAUUAAUUCGAUUAGAGGGGGAAAAAAAUCCCACCUGAUAGGAUGAUUUGUUACCACCAUUGGAGCACGUUUUCUCAUCCUCUAACAAGUACUCUUGGCGAAAGUGUGUGAGAAAUUUAAAAAGAAUGAGAGAGAGAAACAAAUAUAAGUGAAACUUAUUGCUAUAGAUGAGGUGGCUCAGAUAAUAAAAAUGAUUCAUAGUAAUAUUUCUCCACGUAGAUAUGAUCUUUCGAAACAUCCAACUAGAUCCCCUCGUGGCGGUGUACAGAUUUAAGGAGCUGCUGAAAUUCUGGGAGCUAUGUGUAUAAACUGCUAGACAUGCUACCAUAGCUUCUUUUCUUUUUUUUUUGUUUCGCGCCCCUCCUUCGAGGCCCUGGCUGUCUCACCCAUGUAGCCUAAUUCAUAUUUUCAAUGAAUGAAGCAGGUAGCAUGCUACCUUUUCUCAAAAGUAAUAUUUCUACACAUAGAUUAUGUAAUUUAGAAAGGCAUUAAAUUAAUUGAAAUUCUUCUAUUAAAUGGAAAACAAGAAUGGAAGGUGAAUUUAUCACUGUUUAAAUCCAUUUUAAAUUUAGAAAGAAUUUAAAGCAGAUUCAUUAGAGUGUUGAAAACGUACUUGAGUUAUUUUAGAUUAUUAACAAAACAGAACAAGGCGUAUAUAAGUAAGAGUCCAGGAAUUAAAGCGAUCGAAAGCUCUAGAAAAUACAUUCAUUCAUUAUUAACUAAUCAACUAAUGAAGAAACGCAUAAAAACAUGACAUGUGGCGUAAAAACUAAUUAACCCUCGCACACUGCACGACUUUUAAAGUGUAAUACUAGUGUAGAGACCCGCGCGAUGCAGCGGGUAGAUAAUAAAAGCAAAAUUUAAAAAUUGUAAUAAAACUUAUAUUUACAGUUUAUUGAUAUAUAGAAAGUUAUACCAUAUUAAAUACAUCCAAUUUGCAUGACUAAGUUCACAUGGUGAGUAGGGGCCCCGCAAGGACCGGCUCAGCAGACACUUAUAUGGGCCGUGGCUUGGCUUCGCGGAAUGAUACUUCUCGAAGGAGACAAUGUUCUUUAGAGGCUCCUUUUUUUCUUCUUCUUCAUUAUCUUCGUUAAGAUAAUGAGAGAAAGAGGGAGAUGAGUGUGGAGUGGGAGAUUAGAAGAUAAUAUAUUUUUUUAUGAUGCAUAAAAAAAAAUUACAAAAGAGACGGGUGGGAGAUUAAUGGAAAAGAGUUACAAAAGAGAUAGGGUGAGAGAUUAAUGGAGGAGGGGAGUGAAUUAAAGUUAUAAAGCUCACUCAUUGAUGGAAUAUUAAUAUGAUGCAUAUAAUUAAAUAUUGCACCUUACAUGUAAUUAGAUGAGUGGGGAUGUGAAGGGUUGGGCGGUGAGAAGAGGAGAAGGCGAUUUGAUUUAAAGUUUGAUUUAAAGUUGCAUGUAAAUGUAAUUAGAGGAGUGAGAAGGUGAAAGGUUGGGUGUUGAGAAGAUGAGAAAGUGGUUUGAUUUAAAGUUGGGUUAUGAGAAUAAAAGAUAACAUGCCACGUGGUAAAAAAUAUUGUGGCUUCAUAUAGGUUUAUAGAUAAAUUGUUUUUUUUUUUUUUUUUGAGAAAUAGAUAGCACGCUACCCGCUUUGUUUAUUUCAUUUAGAAAUAAAUUUAGCUGGAAAUGUGAAUCAACCAGGAUUCAAAUUUGGAUCUCGGAUACCAACGACCAAGCCCUUUGUCACUUGCUCUAAGGAUAGUCGGUAUAAUAUAAAUUGUUCUCUCAUGUGUGGUAACGUUACGGUGCCUUGAAUCUGAAGCGAGGGUGUGAAUGUGUGAUGUACAAAGUUGCCUUAUUCUGGAGAUGAGCUCCUCCCGAGGAUUUUUCCCAUGCGGAAUAAAAAGUUGUUUUUCCCACUCGAAUUACCAUACUAUGUAAUGUGACCGUUCCCAUUAUUAAGGACUGGCAAAUAAAUUGAGAAUACUUAAGCGUCAUUGUAAAUCACAAAUUAUUCUUCCAAAGUAUGAUCUGAUUUCAGUAUUACUGGUUUUUUUUUUUUUAUGAAAGACUUUGUACAUUACAUUUCAAAAGUUGAAGGAGUACAAUCAACCAUGGCUAACUUAGUUGGCGUCUGAGAUUCUAAAUUCGAAUCAUAAUUAUUUAAUAUUUUUUUAAAAAUUUUAUUUUUAAAAAAUAAAUAGAUAGCAUGUUACUUUUCUCUCUCUAGAAAAAAUAAUUAAAGAGGGAUAGAUAUGUUAUAACGUGAACAAUUUCAGCAGAAUAAAUAAGUUCGAAGAGACCUUUUGUACCAAGGCUGGUCUCGUCGGAGCGCUCUAAAAUAACUUGUCGUUAUUAUUAUUAUAUACUUUUGGGAGGAAAAAAAGUUAACCAUUGUCAUUAUUAUAUAUAGAGAGAGAAGAUAAGAAAUAAUAUAAAACCUUCAAAACUAAACUUAGGAAAGAUAGUAAAUAUGGCGCUUAAAUCUUAAUAAAAAAGAACAUGGUGAUUUGAGAAAAACACACUCGCGCACAAACACUCUCAAAUGGGCCUACGCAUUAAAGCACAAAUAUUUUGGCAACAUGUUUCCAAGGAUCCAUCAGUUGCUAGAGCAGUUGUUCGGUACUCUCAUUGCAGUACUAUUAAUCAUGAGUUUGAAUUCGGAACCUUUACGGAUUUUCAGAGUCUCAGAAAAGAAGAAGAAGAAGAAGAAGAGAACAUGUACUUUUAGAUCCAUUAACGAAUCCACAAUCAACCAAGGGGUCACAUGGUCCGGCCCAUUUAUCAUUACAGGCGGAGUGGGGCCCAAUAACAGACCAUCCGGACACGGGUAACAGAUUAACGGUGAACCAACCCAAGAAACCCACCCGACCCGAACUACCUGAUAAAAAAAAAAGAUCUGAUCGAAUUUGAGGCCAUAUCUUUGAAUUGAACCUCAACGUUUCUCGUAAUUACAAAUAGCUCCUCGUUCCUCUUCUCCACCUCCCCUUUCUUUCCUCUCUCCUGCUCUUCGGAUUCACCGAGAACCCCCCAACCCUAGCGCGGAGGGUUCCUCCCAUCUCCCCGAUCUUCUUCCCCACGAAACCCUAACCCUAAACCUAAUUUCUACGAUUCAGGGGACUAAACCUAGUUUCUCCCCCUCUGUGCUCUUCUCUCGUAGUCCUCAAAUCGAUCUUCCGUGUUCGAAACCGAGAAAUUUGGGCUCCUUUCAUGGCUUGGUGAGGGAGAUCGAAGAGGAGGGGGAGAUGUAUAAAGAUCGAGGAGUCGCUGGGGCGAAGGCGGAGAUCGGAUCGUUGGAUCGGAAGAGGAUCAACGACGCCAUGGACAAGAACUUCGAGAAGCCCUCGUCUUCUUCCGCUUCCCGUGGGUUGAAUGGGAAGGAGAAGGAUCGGUUCGUCGUGCCCUCGUCGUCGGCGGGGAAGCACCCGGACCCCCGGGACCCGCGCUCCUCCUCCCUCUCCAAGGACAAGUGCUCCGAAGGUUAGGGUUUCGAUUGACCGCUUGCUCUUUCUCUGUUUCUUUGAUAUUUCCCUCGUGAUUUAGAUGAUUGUGAGAAGGUAUUGGACGAUUCUCUGACGUGGGAUCUCUUUUUUGUCCAAGAAUUGGUGAUUGGAGAUGCAGAUUUGGUGCGAUGAUUGUUUUUGCACAUGAUUGUUUGUUGCACAAUUUAUGUUUUAAAUGUUUAGAAAACUUUCAGAUGCUCAAUAUGAGACCUAAUAUGAAUGAGACAGCUAAUUCUGCUAUGACAUGCCAUCGUUGAAUUGUUAUACACCCAAGUAGAAACCCUACCUUGGGUAACAAGUAGUGCUACAAUUUAAUAAUCUAGGCGGUUAGUUCCAUGGCAGGUGAAGGUAUUGAAUAGUUAAUAUUGUUGGUAAACUUUAUCCAUUCUUUAGAUUUAUACGGUUGCUAGCUCUAGAUCAGCCUGGUUGCUAUUCGUUAUGUAUGCACUUAUAGAUGCACAUGUUGAUACUAUGCAUGAUUUACAGGCAAAUUUUCUUUUCUAAAUACUUGUUGGUGUCAUUUAUAACAGUUUUUUCAGGUGCUUAUUCAGUAAUUUGUGUGUUUACUUCUUCUUAUCAUUUGAUUGAAAAAUAGAGCUAGGCUAGAAUACUUCUAGAAGUAAAUAGGGUCGUUUACUUCCAAGCUGUUGCCGAAAUUGGGGCAUUUGAAUUGACGUUUAGCACUGUUAAACAUGAUCUAGGGUAUUUGAACCCUCUAGGUAUUAAAUUUCGUAAUCUACAUAGCAUUCAAGUGGCUUAAAAAUUGACAGAUUUUAAUGGCUAUUAUAAGAUGAAUUUGAACCCACAUGAUCACCAGGCAAAUUAUAUCGUAAUAUUGUGAAAUUUGGUUUCUAAGAAGUUCAAAUAGUCUAGAUCUUGUUCAACUGAAUUGAUCGAUGCCCUACUGUCGAAAACAACAUGUAAGUAAAUGACCACGUUUACUUCUAGGAGUAUUCUAGCCUAGCUCUGAAUAAUUUAUCCUGGAUCUACAGUAGUGUAACCUUGCCUCUCAAUGUUUUAAACAGAUGAAUCUGAAUCUGACAGUGAAGAAUCAGAUCUUAGUGCUUAUGAUGAUGGAGAAGACACAUCGUGGAUAUCAUGGUUCUGUAACUUAAGAGGGAAUGAAUUCUUCUGUGAAGUUGAUGAUGAGUACAUACAAGAUGAUUUCAACCUUUGUGGGCUAAGCAGUCAAGUUCCUUAUUAUGAUUAUGCUCUUGAUCUUAUCUUGGAUGUUGAAUCUUCUCAUGGUAAGCUUGAUUUUAUUAUUUAAGAAGAUGCUAGCUUAUUAGCCAUAUGAAAAUAUGAAGCAAAAGACAUUGAUAAUUUUGAUUCGUAUAACUAGUUUUCAAUAAGUAGUUCUUGAGUCUAUGUGUUGUUGAAUAUAUAUAUGUUUGCAUUCAUUUUGUGAUAUUGUUGCAUAUCCAAAAUAUCAUAUUCUAAUUGCAUUUUCUUUUUAAAAUGCUUUUUGGAGACAUCAUGGAUUUUUAUUUUGAAAUCAAUCAUUCACAUUCUUUCUCUGUGAAGGUUUAAUUGCCUUGGCUUGCAUGGCUUAAUUGAGAACUCUCUUUUUUUUCUUCGAAUGGCUGCACAUUUAUGCUAUUUUUUUUGUUUGGUAAGGCCGUUGACUAUAUUGGGUCUCUUUUUAAGAGUUGCAAACAACUUCUAAGCAUCUUUAAUGUAUAACUAAGCCUCUUAUGUAGACAUCACAUAUUAAAGCCAAUCAAAGUUGUUUACUUCUUGAUGAUUUUUUGCAUCAGAUCCAUUUAUUUGUCUUCAAAAUUUUCUUCGUUGCUGAUGCUACGAAACUUUCAUGAUCAAGAAUUAAUUUGCUUAUUCAUACUAGUUGUAGUUUUGAUGACUCUACCCAUCUGAGCCUUGGUUUUAUGUGUAUUUUGUGUUCUUUUAUUUUGUCAAAACCAAUCACAUAUAUAGACACAUUAUUUUCCCAUAAAAGUGUCGUAGUUUUUUCCUCCAAGUCUACACUCAGUCUCUCUUUUCUCUCUUGAAUCUUCCUUUCAUGCCUAGUAUGCAAGUAAUUUUGAUGGUCAAUCUACUGCCACAAGGCCAUAUUGGUUUCUAGAUGCAUGCCUUUGCCACGUAAUGCUUAUAAGGUCAGUUGCUUACAUAGGUCAAUAGUUUGAACCAUAACUUUUGUUCUACUAGUUUUUAUAUUGUUGGUGUCCUGUAUUGAUGUUAGUGGCGGUCCCUUGGAAUUUUGAAAACCUUGAAAUCUCUUUUUUUUUUUGAGAGAGAGAAAGGUAUCAAGCUACCACUUCGUUCAUUUUUUAGAAAUCAACUCAAUUAGAAAUAUAAAGCAACUAGGUUUCGAACUUGAGACCUUAAGUACCAACCAUCAAGCUCUUAGCCAACUGCGCUAGGUACGGUUGGUAAAGCCUUGAAGUCUUGUUAAGUAAGUUUGCCAACUUCAUUUAUGGUUCUUAUUUUCAGUACACGGUUAAGUACUAAUAUAGGUAUAUAUUUCUACUAAUGUAAAAUAGCAUGUGCAAUAUACUUUGAAAUAUGCUACGUUUUUCCGUUCGGCUUUUUAUUUCUUCUCUGAACCUUGAUGUAAUUCCAUGCCUUUCAUCUCGUGAGCAUUUAUGCAUCAUGUUUUGCUUUCCCUUAUUUUCUUUUUUGCUUUUUUUUUUUCGUGAUCUUGUUUUGGUUUUCUUCAUUUUUGCUGUUAAAAUCUAGUUCACCAACUGGUCUAAGGGCCUGUUUGAUCAGCUGGAUCUCCUAUGAACACAAGUGCUGUUUAAGUAUAGCCAUUCACCGGGGCACGGCAGCUUUUUUGGGUACAAUUCCCUAACAGCGUCCUGGUGGAAACAGAGGCUUCAAAUUAGACCUUUUGCACUGGGGGCAGAAGCUGAACUUCAGCUUCCCGCCACAGCAAAAAGCUCCAAUGCUUCUCGGAGCGGAAAAGUGGUACCAAAAGGCAAAAGCCUGGCGAGAUGGGUAGUGGACCAAUUUAUAUUGAUGGCACUUGGUUAUGUGAACGUGCAGGUGAUAUGUUUACAGAAGAGCAAAAUGAGUUGGUGGAGUCAGCUGCAGAGAUGCUAUAUGGUUUGAUUCAUGUUCGCUACAUUUUAACUAGUAAAGGGAUGGCUGCAAUGGUACUACACUAUUAAUCCUAAGAGUCUCAUGGUUGCAUUUUCAUGGUCUAUCAGAUUUGGUUGGUUACAACUAUCUAAAUUUUUUUUUUCUUUCGCAGCUUGAUAAGUUUAAGAACUAUGAUUUUGGGCGAUGCCCUCGAGUUUACUGCUGCGGCCAACCAUGUCUCCCAGUUGGGCAGUCAGAUAUUCCUCGAUCAAGUACUGUAAAAAUAUACUGUCCCAAAUGUGAAGACAUAUAUUAUCCAAGAUCCAAGUACCAAGGCAGUAUCCUUUCAUUCUUGAUUGAGUUCUUGCUAGUACUUUGAUGCUAAUUCAUUCAUAUUUUGUAUGCAUUUAGUCUCAUUCUGGUGAACAUUUUAUCAUUCUCUUUCCUCAAGCCACCAAAUUAAAUGUGAAAUUGGCUGCUAUCUAUUUCCUCGGCUUCCAACUACGACUAGCAUAUGCAUAUAUACCUUCUUUUCACCCUACUCUCUCAGGAAAAUAUUCAUGUUUUCUGGAUGGCCCCUUUGAAGCGUCUAGGAAAGUGCUAUUUGACCAUACGGCUGUUUGAAGAAGCACUAAUAGCUUUUUUCAGUAAAAGUCUCUUUUACACCUUGCUAUAGAGGGAGCAAAAGCAGAAGCUUGAAGUCAGAUCAUUUCCUUUUGGAACUAAAGAGUUCAUUCAAUUAUGUCAUAUUUAACCAUGGCAUAGUUGUUAAAGCUCCCCAUAAUCUGUUUAUUUGUAGUUAAAGAGCACACUCUCUGCCUUCUUUGGAUUGUAGCGCUACAUGGUACCUGCCUUUCAUUCUGUCGUAAUAUCUCCUAGUUCAUUCUCUUGACUCACCAUAGAUGUCGACGGAGCUUAUUUUGGAACAACAUUUCCACACCUGUUCCUGAUGACGUACGGGCACCUCAAACCACAGAAGCCUUCACAGCGGUAUAUUCCCAGAGUAUUCGGCUUCAAAAUCCAUAAGCCAUGAGAAGGAAGACCGUAGCUUGCGAGGUGUAGCAAAGACGCGAGAAGAUUAUUGCUCCCUUCUCAUCAUCCUUUAACUUGGUGAAAUGUUUGUAAUGGGCUUAACUUCUUAUGACGAAGCUGCUGUUUCACUUGAUCUUGUUGUACCCGAUGAGUAAGUGUAACUUAUCGUUGCUAUUUAUUAACUUGUACUAGUAGCUAUUUCCCCCCUCCCCCCCCCCUUUUUUUUGUUAUAUUCAUUUUAUCGAAGAUUUCAUGGGCUCCUCAACCUUGCGAUCUUCGUUCUCAAUUAAGAUGCUGUUAUGCUGCCGGCAAAAACUCACGGACGACUCACCAGUUUAUGUAUAAUAAUUGUGAUCUUAGGUGGCGAGAUAUUCCACGUGUAUUGUCUUGAUGAAUGGGUAAUAUUGUUAUGGAUGAAUACGAUUGUUAUGGUGCUCAUUCAUCAAGAUAAUAUCCAUGGAACAUUUCUUCUGACAUGUUUUCGUGCCCAGUUUUCAAUGUUCGUUGCCUUUGCGGAUCGAGCUUAGUUUUCUUUUUCAGUUUUUUCCUCGUUUUGUCGACUGUCGAUUCUAGCUGAUGACGCGGAUGUCUCACCCUGCUUUUGGCUGAUGAUGUGGGAUUCUCAUCCUUCUUGAAAUUAUGCCUUCUAUGCUUGGCUAAACAGCUAUGCACUCUCUAUUAUUAUUACUAUUUUUUAUUGUUAAUAUAAAAGCAAAUGGGCGAUGCCAAUUUAAUUAAGAAAGAAACAAGCCAGUAGAAAAUGUGCCACUAGAUUCAUUCAAUUUCGAUAGCCAACAGAUACGGCGUUACCACUCGAACAUAAACAGUCGAUUAAUGAGGAAUCCCCUUAGUACUUAUUCUCUUAUAUCUUAUCCUAAUUAUUUUUGGUCAUGUUGAUGAAAGUGGUUUGGGAUUGGCGGAUUGCUAAGAAAAGAGGCAAAGUAAAAUAUUUUCUAGAGUCGUAGAUGGUCAUUGACAUCAUUAGGAAACACAUUUUUUCAUACUUCGGAGUGAAAUAUUUGCAAAUAUAGAAAUUGUUACGGCUUCCUACCCAGUGAAAAAUUUGUCUUAAUUGUUGGCUUAGUCUUCGUAAGCAUCUUCAUAAUUUGUAAAUAAAGAUGCAGAUUUCAAAGAAUAGUAAAUAAUAAAAUGGAAUAAACUAGUAAUCGAAGGGUUCUCAAUCACUCUCCUAAAAUAAACCCAUGACCAGUUCCCUCUUCCAACUCCCACAAAACCAGCAAGACCUCUCUCCUUUUAUCAAAAAAAAAAAGAAAAAAAAAAAAAAGAGCUUUGUUGACAUUUCUUUCUCUCAUCCAACUAUCCUAAUAAAAGAAUUAGUCUGAUUACAAAGUAGUCCCUAAUAAAAGUCUGAUGCUGCUUAUUUUAAUUAAACUGAGAGAAAAAAAGUGUUAAAAAGUUAGAUCUUAGAACAAAAAACUCACAGGUUGUCGAAUUAUGGAUCAUUUUCGAGAGUCGCAAACCAACAUCUCAUACUCUGUCCUAUAAAAAGAUAUUCUUCCCCUUGUUUCAAAUACAUUAAUAAAGGAGAAAAUCAUUUUCCACAAGAACUUAAUGAUUAUUUCAAAAAAAAAUAUUUCUUGGGUUAGGAAUGGAUUUGUAAUUUUGAGGAAUUUCGAUAAGAAGUUCUAAGAUCUGACGCAAAUGGGUACAGCUACAGGGACUAUCCAUACAUUUUUUAACCAAUAAAUAAGCGAACAAGCCUAGUCAUUCGUGGGCCCAAAGAAAACGAUUUUAAUUAAAAAAAGGAAAAAUAAUAAAAAAUCAUAGGUUUAUAGAGAGCGAGAGAGAGAGAGAGAGAGAGAGAGAGUUUUCUAGGAUUUGAAUGUGGGGAGAAAGAGAUAAGCCCAGUGGAGGCCCCCUCUCUCGCUUCGGUUGAUGAAGCAGGCGCAGAAGCAGCGCGAAAUUCUUGAUUUAGAUGCAUCAGAAGCGCUCCGACUCUCUCAUCGGAAAAGAUAGCACCUUCGCUCUCUCUUCCGAUCCCGCCCCCUCCGCUCCUUCGCCUCCCUUCUUCCCCUUCCAUCAUUUCCCCAACCCUAACCCUAACCCUAACGCUAAUCCCCAUCCCCAUCACCAUGCUCCUCUCUCCACCCCGCACAAGCGCCCUCUCAUGACCGCCGCCGCCGCCGCAGCCGCCACCACCACCUACGCCGCCGCGCCUCCCCUCCGCGCGCCGCCGCCGCCGCGAUCGCCGCCGCAUCGCUUCCGGCCCCGCCACCCGCCUCGCCCUCCGCCGCUUCCUCCGCCGCCUCCACCUCCGCCUCCGCCUCUUCCUCCUCCUCUCCUUUCCCUUCCUCUACCUCCUCCUCAACCCCUCGUCGUCGUCGUCGUCCUCGUCCUCGUCCUCCUCCGCCCGCUCCUUCCUCCUCGACUUCCUCUCCGCCGCCGCCUUCUCCUCCGUGCUCCUCCUCGUCCUGCUCUACCUCUCCUUGAAGCCCCUCCCCUGCACCUCCCUCCGCCUCCUCCUCUCCCGCUCCUCCGCCCUCCUCCCCCGCUACUCCAUCCCCGGCCGCCGCCGCCGCCCCGCGCCCGCCCGCGUCCUCUGGUCCAUCGGCGACAAGCCCAAGCUCGAUCGCCGUCCCGCUUCCGGCUCCUGGGUCCAGGUCUACAGCAACGGCGACGUCUACGAGGGCGAGUUCCACCGCGGCAGGUGCUCGGGAAGCGGCGUCUACUGCUACUACAUGAGCGGGAGGUAUGAGGGGGAUUGGGUGGAGGACAAGUACGAUGGGUUCGGGGUGGAGACUUGGGCUAAAGGGAGCCGAUACAGGGGCCAGUAUCGGCAGGGGCUCCGCCAUGGCUACGGCGUGUAUCGGUUCUACACGGGCGAUGUGUACGCCGGUGAGUGGUCCAACGGGCAGAGCUACGGGUUCGGGGUGCACACCUGCGAGGACGGCAGCCGAUACCUCGGGGAGUUCAAGCGGGGGGUCAAGCACGGCCUCGGGCUCUACCAUUUCAGGUAUAGAUUACUACUCACUGGGCUCUGUUGAAUUCUCUUAUUUGUUCUUCGUAUUCCUUCCUUUUCUGAAUUAGGUGAACCAAAUUCUUCAGUGGCCUUGCUAUUUGUAUCUUUGUGAAUCCUUGUGUUUUUAUGCCAUUAACAUUCCAUUCUCGUUGUUGCUUUUAUGUUCGGACGGUAACAGAUUUGAUUAUUGUUGUACCUGUUAAUGCCGAAACUGCCGGUACCUGCUCUUAUGGUUGCUGUGCUACAUGAAAUUGUUCGUUACUUCUAUGCCCUUUUGUUAUUUUAAAAAUUGUUUAUUACGAAACCAUCCUACAUGGGCAAAUUAUGAUGCCAUGUUAUCCCAAUAUUUCCUUAUGCUGAACAAUUUUAAAAGUAAAGUGAAAAAAAAUGCUGAUUUGCUGUUGAAAUUAGGCCAUAAUCUUGAAGUUUGCUUAUUAGGAUGCAACUUGACAUCUUUCUAUCAUCAAGCAUUAUCAUGGCAUGCCGUUCCAAUAUUAGCUAGCCAGCGUGCCAUUUUAACUUUUGUUUUAAUUGUCAAUCACUGUCUUUAGUGGAUGUUUGCUGCAGGACUUGACUGUAGAACAUGAUAAAAUUCUAGCUAUUUACUAUACAAAUCAAACUAUAGUGAAGAAAAAUCAAAAUUUACAUAUAAUUUGAGGGCAUUUUAUGGAAUUCACUUGUGGAGGUCCUCUCAGGAAAGUUUCCGUACCCCGUUUGCUGCGUCUACAGUUGAAUGACGAGAACUGAUUAGUUAGUUUUGUUGGUACUGUUUUUAAUUUUCCCAUUGUGUUCUGAAGGAAUGGCGACACCUAUGCUGGAGAAUACUUUGCAGACAAGAUGCAUGGUUUCGGGAUUUAUCACUUUGCAAGCGGGCACCGCUACGAGGGAUCAUGGCAUGAGGGCAAGAGACAAGGCCUUGGGAUGUACACAUUCAGAAACGGAGAGACUCAAUCAGGUCAUUGGCAAAACGGCGCCCUCGAUACUUUAAGCACCCAGAAUGCUGUUCCUGGAUCACCAAUUGCUAUUAACCACUCUAAAGUACUUAAUGCUGUUCAGGUGCUCAACUUUCUUUCUUUACUUGUAGACCCUAAAGCAAAACACCUUCUCCCUUAAUUGCUAGCCUUUCAACUGUUACAGUUGGCUCCCUGUCCUUCACGUUCGUUGCAAUAUUACCCUUCUUUUUAGAUUCUUUAUGUUGAAUUGGACAAUAAUAUCCAUGUAAACCAUCAUGUAACUGACACAAAAGGCAACUUUGGGAGUUCUGAUAUGGUCAUGAUUGCUCGAAUAUCUCUAUCCAAUUUAACUAAGAAGCUUAGUGGGAAGGAUUAGAUUGUCCAAUUGUAACAAUCGAAAGUUUGGGGACCAGAUUGAAACAUUCUAAAAAGGUUUUGGGCCCCUGGUACAAUUUACUUGAUAUCCCCCAAGGGCUAACACUCCUUUAUGUUCAGGAAGCACGAAGGGCCGCAGAGAGGGCUUACAAUGUGCCCAGGGUGGACGACCGGGCGAACAAAGCUGUCGCAGCAGCCAACAAGGCGGCCAAUGCAGCUCGAGUAGCUGCAGUCAAAGCUGUUCAGAAGAGAAUCCCAAAUAGUAGCAGUGAGAUUCCUCCAAUCCCAGUUGUCUGAGAGGCCUUUACUCUGGAUAUACAAAUACACUCACUUUAGAGAAAGCAGACUGGUGCCUUCUCUGAGCAAAGGUAACAAAGAUACAGGGGCGAGGAGCACGCACCUCGGCGCAGCUUCGUGGAAUCCCCGUCUUUUGUUGUUCUCAUCAUCUUUUCUCUCUUUUAUAGACCUCGGAGAGCAAGGGAACUGCUUCGAGCAAACAUUCAGUCAUCAAAGAUAUAGCUGAUUGAGGCCGCCAGGUUUCUCUUCGCUUUGUUUCAUUGUAGUAUGCAAAUAGAUGAGCGGCUAGGAUUCAACCGCCUCUUUGCAGCUUGUAUGUAUAGGACUUUUUUUCCCCUCCCCUCCCCUAGUACUGGUGAUAAUUGCGAGUUGAGACCUCGUGCUAGUCCGAUAUUUCCAUUCAGAUAUCGUAGUUUUCUGAAAUGAGAUGACAGUCAUGAUCAACGCGGCUCUGCGUUUGGCUUGUGGAUAUGCUUUCAUGUUAUGCUUAGUAAUCAUCAGGAACUCUUUUUUUCCUUUUCCUUUUUCUUGUUUUCUCUUUAAACUUUCUAAAAAUAGAAAUCCUAAGAGGGGGCUUUAAUGGUAGCGUUCCUAUCUAUCUAUCUAUUAUUACAUGGAAGUUUGAGAAAAAGCAAAGCCUAUACUGAAGGAUAUUAUUGUAUGUGGCGCGUUGUAUGGAGAGCCACUAAUGAAAAGAUAAUCUAAUCAAUUUAUAUAAUGUACGAAUGCAUGGAAAAUUACUUUUCAAAAAAAGUAUUUUAUGAAAAAUAGUAUUUUCUCAAAUUUAGAAUUUAAACUAAUAAUAAAAUUAAAAAGACUGAAAACAAAUUUUGUUUUUAGGAGAAAAAAAAAAUCCAGCCAGCUAGAAAAGUUUCUUUCUAGAAUAGAAUACCCAUUGGGAGGAGGGCUGGCUUACACGGUCCAGUUGCUCUCUGUUAGAACCCCUCGACGGAAGGAGUCGGUCGGUACAGCUUUCGUGCCCAUCAGGAUCAGCAAUCAGCCAAUCAGCGACCUUCCUUCUCUUCUUUAUUUGUGGGUCCCACUGAUUCGCCCCCGCGGCCUAUAAAUUAUAAAACGCGACCUUUCUUCCUUGCUCACCCGUAUUUCGCUGGCUGUUACAUUUAUUGCUAUCACGAUACCUUGACGUACAUCUACGCACCCAAUCACAAUUUUUUGCACCAAACACCACCCGCUCCUCUCUCUCUCUCUCUAGCGUCCCCCCGCUCCUACCCGUGCUAUCGUGCGCCGUCGUACGAAAAACACCGCAGCUAUCGUGCGCCGGCCGGAUCCGUUGGUCCGCGAUGCUGAUGCUGGUGAACUGCUCCGGGUGCCGCACCCCGCUGCAGCUCCCCCCGGGCGCCCACUCCAUCCGCUGCGCCCUCUGCCACGCCGUCACCCACGUCGCCGACCCCCGCGGCGCCCCCCCGCCGCCGCAGCACUCCGCCGCUCCGCCGCUCCCGCCGCCGCCGCAGGGGUCGCCGUGGGGCCCUCCGCCGCCGCCGUCCCCGCACGGGCGCAAGCGGGCGGUGAUCUGCGGGAUCUCGUACCGCUACUCGCGCCACGAGCUCAAGGGCUGCAUCAACGACGCCAAGUGCAUGCGCUACCUCCUCAUCAACCGCUUCCGCUUCCCCGACUCCUCCAUCAUCAUGCUCACCGGUCUGUUUCGCUUACGGUAACCCUGUUCAUCGAUCCCCCUUUUUUCCCCUUUUUUUUCUCUUCUUCUUCUUCUUCUUCUUCUUCUUCUUCUUCUUUCUUUCUUUUCGGAAUUCUACGUCGAGGAUUUUUUGUUUAGGGUUUGAUCGGUAGUGUUUAAGUCCUCUCGAUCGGUAGGGUUUCACGAUUUGAGCGCCGCGCCCAGAAUCGACGUCCUUCUUUUUAAAAUUUCUGUUUCUUGUUUCUUUCGGAUAUUUAGGGUUUUUGAUUAGUCGACCCACCCUUGAUCGUGUUCCUCGUAUUCCAUAAUCCUGUCUUUUUUAAUUGUCGAAUCAAUUUUACGAGUAAUUAUAUGAUUGAUCACGCAGAGGAAGAAACUGAUCCAUUCAAGAUUCCGACCAAGCAGAAUAUCCGAAUGGCCCUCUAUUGGCUGGUUCAAGGUUGCCAGCCCGGAGACUCGUUGGUGUUUCACUACUCGGGCCAUGGCUCGCAGCAAAGGUGCUACAAUUCCGAUGAAGUGGACGGAUACGAUGAAACACUUUGUCCGCUUGAUUUUGAAACGCAAGGAAUGAUCGUAGACGAUGAGAUCAACGCCACCAUCGUCCGUCCGCUUCCUCGUGGGGCUAGGCUUCAUGCAAUUAUUGAUGCUUGCCACAGCGGCACCGUGCUCGAUUUGCCCUUCCUCUGCAGAAUGAAUAGGUAAAUUGUGUGACCAAAAUAAAUUCCAUUUUCCACCUCCUUCAUGGUAGUGAAAUAUAAAAGUACGACAAUACUGUGCAGUUGUAUAUGUAUGUAUUAGAGAAUAUGCGGACAUUCGUCGCCAUUUCUUCAUAUUAGUCGGUUAUUACCAUCUUAAAGUGGAGCGAUGCCGCUUAUGUUUGUUUCGUUGCUUACUUCUGGGCGUUCAUCAAUGAUACCAAAUGUUUGACGAAUCCAAGCCGCUAGUUGUAAACAUAUGUUCGAAAUUUAAAAUGGUAGCUGAUGAAUGGAUAUUUACUGUUCCAGGAGCGGGCAGUACGCCUGGGAGGAUCACCGCCCGCGGUCAGGUGUCUGGAAAGGUACGAGUGGUGGGGAAGCCAUUUCAUUUAGCGGCUGUGAUGACGACCAAACCUCUGCUGAUACCUCGGUAAUCUCUGUUUCCUUAAUAUUCAAUUACUCCAAUUAAGAGCGUAGCUUAGUGCCAUGGUGAGGCUUCUUCCGUUGUGCCAUCUCUUGUACCUGGAUAAGAUCAUGUUGAUUCUGCAUGCCGAGGACCAUGCAUUGCCAGGACAAAUGGUGCUUGUUAUGCGGAAUGGAGUGAUAUUAGUUUUUGCAAUUUUAGCAAUACAGUUCUUUUCUUAGAAGUAUGCAUCCAUAGUCAAAUCUUGGUCUGGUGUUUAAAGGAUAAGUCAUGGAAAUAACAUUCAAUCAGAAAGAAAUGAAGGCCGAUAUUGUUUAUGUCUUCUUAUAAUGAAUUUCGAUUGGAGUGGACAAAUUUCUAGUAGUUAACAAAGAUCCCUUGAGAGCAGAAAUUGUUUCUUAAUCUCAUCAUUAAAUCGACACUGCUUGAUCUUUUGUGCUUCGAUCCUUCAACUAAUUUCGUUUCACCAACACUGCUUGAUCUUUCCUUCAACUAAGGUUUUGCUCUCGAUUUCGAACAGGCCCUUUCGAAGAUCACCUCAACAGGUGCGAUGACCUUCUGCUUUAUCCAAGCUAUUGAAGGGGGCCAUGGAAUGACAUAUGGGAGCAUACUAAAUGCCAUGAGAUCAGCCAUCCGAAACACAGGCAAUGAUGCGAUGAGCGGAGGUGCUGUCUCUACACUCCUCACCAUGCUGUUGACGGGAGGCAGUGUUGGUGGUGGGUUGGGGCAGGUGAAAUUCUUGAACACGCUUUCCUAAUAUCAGGGUUUAGAAGUCCUUUUCUUGUGCUAAGAGCUUUUUAGGUGGUUGCGUAAUUGAUUACUAACAAAACCCAACAUGGUGGGCCAGUUUGGAUGUCAGUCAGACCAUACAGUCAUAAUAUUAGUUGCAUGGGGGGGUUGUUUCUUUGGCGACUAAAACAUAAAAGUAAAACUGCUGGCUUUUAAUGACUCGAAAGAUUGCCAAUGUUUUUUCAGAAUAGCUCAUCCACAUACGAGAUGAUUAGUCAUAUCCAGAGGAUUACUUUAUCCUUUCUACUCUUGGAUUCGUUUCAUGCCUAACUAACAAUUUGUGCUCAGAGCAAACAUCGAGGAGAUACACCAUUAGUUAUUCUAGCAUCUAACAGGCCCUUAAGCAUUCAUGUCCAGGUGCAUGCUUGCAUUCAUUUUUAACUUCCUGUUGAUCUCAUGAAGUGGUAGAAUUUUGUGUUUCUUCCUGUUGAUCUCAUGACAUAUAAAUAUACUUAUCGACAGUAUUAUAUUGUGCUUUACCUUAACUGUUGUCUCUUGUAGUCUGUUAUUCUUGUAUCUGCACAAACCAAAUUACGGGCAGAUGAAAUAACAUCAAAAUUUUUCCCUUGCAGGAGCCGCAGCUGACUGCAAAUGAACCAUUUGAUGUCUAUGCGAAGCCAUUCUCUCUUUGACGUGAAGUUUUUGCCUUCUUUCUUCCCCUGUAUUUUUCUCACAGCUUUCUUUUGUCAGGUGAUUCUGUAGAAUUAGGAUUAGCUGCCUAGAUGGUUUACCAGUUGAGAGGUCGAAAUAUAAUAUUCACAUAUCAGCUGCAUGUUUGGCUUAUGAGCAUUUUCCUUUAUUUACUUUUCCUAGUACAUUCUUUUUCGUAUUUAAAAAUAUCUUUUGUGUUAUUUUAAUCUUGUUUAUAGACAAUGAUGAUAUCAAAUGAUGAUGAUAUAACUGAAGAGGAGGGAUAGAGCUGUCUUUUAAACUUUCGUUAGCUUGCUUUCGGAGCCUUAUAUCAAGUGAUCAUCGCACGCCAUGUGUUUGUUCGUUGGCAUUUAUUGGGAAAUUUAGUGUAGCAUUUGCAUCUGGAUAACUACCCUCGUUUUCUGAUGAUCGUUAGAGAGAGAGAGAGAGAGAGCAGGUUAUAUUUCAUAAACCACGUAUUGGUAAAAUUUAGCAAAUUUUAUUUUAACACUUAAGCCUCCGUUUGGUUCAGGGUUAAGAAAAAAGUAGUUAUUCCAGGGAUAGAGUUAAGUUCAGAAUUAAAGUGGGGUUAAAAUUUUUUUGUAUUUGGUUGGGGGUUGGAGUUAGUCUAGAAUAAUGAAAAAUAGUGUUUGGUUGGAGUAGGUAGAAUAAGAAGAUAAUGAUUGAUAAAGAAGGAUAAUGAUUGAUUGAAGUAGGUAGGAUAAGAAAGAUAGUGGGUUAUUAUGAAUAGAAAAUAGUGUUUGAUUGGAGUUUGGUGGGAUUAGGUGAGAUUAGCUAAUCCGGAGUUAUCCCACCCAUUUUUUGGAAUGUUCGGGGAUAAUAUGAGGGUUAAGCAGUUAUUCCAUUCCUUAACCUCCAACCAAACAAGGCUAAAGGUUUAUGUGGCACUUCCACACAUAAAAAGUAAAGUUAUUUUCAUACCAAUAAGAACUUAAAAAAAAAAAAGAAUGAAAAGAAAACAGCUGACACGACCUGCAGUGCGUGCGUGCGUCACCUACGCAACGCAUUAAAAAAUAAUAAAAAGUCUAUGCAUGCUUACACCAGCGAGAACACGCCAUCAGCAAAAGACACCACGUUAAUGUGUAUUUGUUAGAACUCACCAGGCACCUUUGAAAACCAUUUUAAACCAGCUUUCCUGUGUGGAUUGAAUCUCCUCAUUCGGCAGAUUUCCAGUAACGCCGGGAAUCAGAUAAAGAAGGUUUUGGCCGUGAAACGAAGAUUACCCUGCACUUAUAUCUACGCAUGAUGAAUAUAUGUCAUAUAGUGGCAUCUUAGCACCACAUGCGAUUGGUAACAAAAUACAUUACAAUUUGUCACCGCAAUAGCAAAGGAGAGAAUAUAUAUUAUUAACUCAUGAUACUAGAUUCCUAAUUGAUUAAAAAAAACAGAGCCAAAAUGAGAUUUCCAGCUCCCAAAACCUCUUUACCACCACUACCACAAAUAAAUAGGCUGCUGAACUGAUACCCUACUUUCAAUUUCAGUAACCUUCGGAAGAAUACGAAGGCAUGAGUCAAUAUAAAGCAACAUACUAUAAUAACCUGAAAGGAUACGAGCAAGAAAACAUUUUUAAGGACCGAGUAUCCUGAAGUACCUAAACAUGAAUAUCCCACCUGAUACAGAUCAUCUUUAUCUCUAAAGAAACGCAUCCAACUUCUUUGCUUUGCUCGGCUGCGGGGGUCGGAAGUCUUCCAACCGCAAACUGGAGCUCGCCCGUAUCUCAUUUAAGACCGAAUCCCCUUUCUCUGUUCUUAUGGACUCUAGGGUGCUACCAAGAACAUCUGCAGCAAGUCCGAUCUCUAGUAAUCGCCCUGGCUCUUCCCCGCCUUCACGUAUUAAUCUCCCGAUCUCUCUCAAGGGCACCACAUUUUCUGAUAUUACUCUCGCAAAAAUUCGUCCAAGAAACUCUGCAGCCCUUGGAGCAUCGUUCACAGCAUCCUCCAAUGAAGAUAGUACAGAUUCAAACCUGUCGAUUAAUUAAUACAUAGUCAAUUGCACUAGAAAUCAUGUUGACAUUAUACUACGUUGGUUGCUUGGCCCAAGCUGGAGCAUUUGCAGAAAUGCAAUUUGAAACUCGAGUACAGUUGUUUGAAAAGGCACUAAAUAAAAAUUUAGUCCUUGAAAGUGGACCCAGAUUUCAAUCAGGUCCCCAGGCAUAUCAAUUAUAAACAAUUUUGUCCCCGAGGUCUGACUCCAGUUUCAAUUUCAUCCUCCGAGUUGCAAUGUAGUUCUUAAUUCGUCCCAUAAGUUUGAGCUUGAUUUCCUUUUCUUCUUUCUGGUUUCAACUUCAAAAAAUAAAUAUAUAACGACUGCACUGACGUGUGUGUCCUUUUUCAGAAGGUAGUUAAUAUGACUUGUUUGACACACAGAACAGACUUUCAGGGGCUAAACUGUCUUACUCAAAACUAUGACAAAAUUGAAAUUACGGUCAACUUGAGGGUAAUUUCUCUCUAAUGCUUUUAUAUAAAUCCUCAACAGCUAAUUGCUGCAGUAGAAGCAGAAGCUUCACAUUAGAGGUUCUACUAUUGCAGCCAGGAAGCUUAUUUUAGCUUUCCGCUACACCAAAAGCUCCAGACAUAUUACAAUCCAAACAACUGACUUCUGCAGCGUUCUGCUUUCUAGCAUAAAGAAACUAUUCAAGAAUCAGGCUGAACAAGUACUGAACAAUAUAUAUGCUAGUGUUUCUUAACAAGAGUAAACCAUUCUAGAUCAUACCCCUGUAGUAGCUGUCCUUCGCUUAAUAAGCUGUCUCGAGACUUGCAAAGGUUGACGAGAAGCUUUGCCAAGAGAUCCCUUUCCAUAUCUUUCCUUUCAAAAGAGUCAGUAAUCCAAAGUGAUACAGCCGAGGAAUAGAAAUUAGGGGCAUUCAGCUCCUUCAUGCACAAAGCAACCUCCGCCUCAUCUUUAGCACUGCAAAAAAACCAAAAAUUAUAUCAGCAUUAAGAUCACAAAAAGAUCAACAAUGAUAUCAGCAAUUUCUUGGUUCAUUUAUAAUCUAUAAGAGAGAUAUGUAAGAGCAUGAACUAGUUACUAGUUAGUAUAUGGUUACGAAGAUAAAGAAUGUGCACAUGAUCAGAAUUUAUACACAAUGCCUCAAGUAUGAAUAAACAUUUCAAGAGAAGCCCAUUAAUGCAAACACUUGUUGUGUGACCCUUAUAGGAAGCAAAACUAAACGUAGUAACCAGAAACAGAUCUGAUAAUUCCAUUUCCUCCUUUUUUUUUUCCUUUGACUAACUUCUACUUCAUAUAGCAGAAGCUGCUUCUAUAUUUAUUUCUCACAUCUACUAUACCAUUAACCAUUAACGUAUCUCAAAUCCCCUCAGAGCAUCCUAGAAUUUGGCUUCUCCUUCAAAGCUAUCUCUUCUUCCUCUACUAAAUGCAGAUCUCAAUUUCUGUUCAGGAAACUACUUCAUACUAAACUUAUAUCUUAACAUCUUAGCCCUAUCACCAACAAUUUUAAUGUUCUUCACUUUCAUUUUCCUCAGCAAAGAGCAAAUAUAAAUUCAUUGCUUGAAAGUUGAAACUAGACGACAGACAGUUGAGCCAACAUCCUGCCAAUUGAUCAAUUCUCUUCUCCUAUAACUGCACAAAUUAACAUUCGUACCUCUUAAGGAUCUGAAAAAUAAGCAUUUAACUGUGCAUCAACUGGUUUUCCCCUCUUAUUCUUUGAUGUUGAUUCAUCUAAUCAUCUCUAUAUGAAGCAUUCUCCAUCAGAAUGAUGAUGCAAUUAUUUAUUGAGCAUCAGUUACAGCCUGUUUUACCAAUUUGUAUUUCCAGAUUGGGAAGAACUAACGUCUUUUUACAAUUAGGAGCAGCGACGCGACCAUCAUACAUCUUGGUUAACCCAUGAAUUGCUUAAUUUGAUGACCAAAUUACUAACAUUCACUAGUAGUCCCCCUUGGACAAACUUGAAGACAUUUAAAUUCAGAAAAGAGUUACCCAGAGGACACAGCCUUUUCAUAAGAAAAGACUAAAAUGAGAUAAUAAAGAUAAUCACAACCGUCAUGAUUAUUCUGUUGGAUUUGUUUACAAAUUCUUGCUAUAAGUCGCCUCAGGCAAAAGGUCAACUAGAGCCUGCAAGGCAAGUUGCGGAAGGAACCCAAGUAAUUCUUCGCAGCUCAGAAUUUGUGACCAGAUUCUUUUGCCUCCACUCUCUCACCUCCAAUUCAUCAUUAUGCAACCAUUGUUAUUAUGUUUUCGUUUCUCCAUUCUUCCUUCACCUUUAAUAUUUUUGCCCUUUUUAUCUUUAAUUUGUUUUUGAGUCCACCUGCCUAAUUCUUCUUGCUAAUGCUAUUGCCCCAUUUUUAUCCCUUCUUUCUCACAUAAUCUAUCUUGCCAGAUUACCAAACACCUUGUCAUGAUAGGCAGGUUUAGUACUAGUCAGGCUCACAUGGGAUUACUAUGUGACUUGCGAUCCAAAACUAAGCUGCCCUACCCACUGGCACCCUUGCUAACAUGUUGCUUAACUAUGUAAAACCAUUUGAAAAUCCCCUCACAUACUAAAGGCCAUAUUGAAAUCAACAAGAAAUGUAAAAUGCAUUCAACCAGAAAUGCAACAUUGCAUAUCAAGAAAAGACCGAUGGAAGAAUGAAAGGACUCCAGUAUUUCAGUAUGUCCCACAAAUAGGAGAAACCAAACACUCAAUCUGUUAAAUUCUAGGGCAGUGGUGGAUCUUAAAAAAAAGGGCAGUGUGGAUCUUAAAAAAAAGGGCAGUGUGAUCUUAAAAAAAAAAGUUACAAGAAACAGCAGAAGAGGGAUCUGAAAUAACUAGUCCUAUUCAAUGGAUAAUACUAACUUUUUUUCAGAGAGUGAAAGAGAAUAUGAUUAAAUGCCACAAAGCAAGAAAAAAAUUUUAUGAAUCUUGCAAGCAUAAUAAAUAUAAGUCAUAUAGGUGAUGUAAAUGAGAACUAACCUAUAAAAUUCCCGUAUUGCUGAUAUUGUUUUUUCUUCGAGAACCUCUUUAGAGAAAGUUUUUGUUUCUGAUCGCACAUCGAGACUACUACUCGAAGAUGCAUGUCCCCGCCCAGCAGGUUGACUAGUUGCUGGGGGCCCAUCAAAAGCUCGAUCGGCACUUCUCAAAUCCCGGCUUCCAGGAGCAUUGCGAUCUUGAGGACUGGGAAGCCUAUCUGCCAUGUAUCUGCUACCAGUAUCAUCCCUCAAGUUAUUAGAUGUCCAAUCAGUAACAGAACUAUACCCAUUAGGACCAGCUCCCAUCCGUCGAUUGUCACCAAAUCCAGUAGAGGUGGCAUUUGAAAUCGUUGGCUGCCCUCUAAUAGACAUUCCCCUAGCCAAGCCGCCUUGAGGACCAAGUGUAAGAGAAUCAUCAUUAAUAGCCCUUUGAGGCAGAGGGAGGGACAGUGUUCUGCUUUCAUACUGGUGUUGCCUAUCCUCGAACCGAACAUCCUGCGUCGCAUAUGCACGAGACUGAGAAGGUAAUCCACGAAUAUUAGCUUGCUGCAAACCUGACGAACCCAGUGCGGAAGAGCCACGAGGACCAUAAUCAGGCGGUGCACCCCGCCUUGGCACCGAACUAAUGACCGGACCACCACGAGCCAAUCUACUUGCUUGAGCUUGUCUUUCUUGAGCCGCAUCCCUGUGAACCUCCUCAAUCUUCUUUGGCCCCUCAACUUUCCUUCUUUGUUGCCAUUUAUUUUUUCUAAGAUCGAUCGCAUCUUUCAGCAUGAACCUAACACGAGACGACAGCUUCUGAUUUGUCGACAUCUUCAGCAUGAUAUCAAAAUAAGCAUCCAUAUGCUCCUUGGCUUUUGGAUGGUCUAUGAUCUCCCCAAUUGUGCUCAUUAACUUGCAUAGAGCCUCCACAUCUUCCUCAUCGGGGUUCUGAUAUUGACCCAACAACUUCUUGAUGCAUUCGUGCAUGAUUCUCUCAGUCAGCAUCUUCUUUUUGUAUAAUUCUCCAAUCAAACGAAUAUUUCCCAGCAUACGCCUCCUCGCACGAAGCCUUUUCUCUUCCCGUUCCUCAUUGGAUUGCUUAAUCUCACCUUCCUCUUCCACUUUGUUAGCUUCGGCUUGCUCUCUUUCCCCCCUUUCAAAUUCCUCCUGGCACUUAUUCAAAAGCAAUCUUUUAAAAGUAACCUUCUCGUUGGCCUCGCUAAAAUCCGGUAAUGCACUUGCCAAAUGGAGACAAAAAUUGGCAUACAUCUCACAGAAAGUUGGUUCCAUCAAAGCUUUGUCAAAAAUCUGAGAGAUGACGCCAGUAAGAGUUGCUACGUUGUCAAUGUUGACUUCCUUUACUUGUAAGAAAAGUUUUUCAAAAUUUUGAGGCGUUAACUUGUUAAGGAUGCCUUUAAGCUGUCGUUGUUUCGCCUGUUCCUCGUCAGAGAUUUUGCCCACUUCAUAUUUUCUCUCAGCCUUGUGCAUCACCUGCAAAGGCGUCUGCGGAGAAGGUAUCAGACCUCUACUAGUAGCACGCUGCCACCUGUCUGCGUCAGAAUUACUACGUUGCAUGCCACCCUGAGCAAUCACUGAUUGCAUUGGCCCAGAGAGAAUCCCACCAACAAACUGAGUGGGCGGCUGACCACGUGGGUUCCGUAAAACCCCAUGACUAACUCCUUGGCCCGGGCGGAAACUCACUACACUGGGUCCAUGGCCCAUAUCUAAUCGAACAUCACGAUUAGGGCUAAAAGGGCCAGGAAAUUUUGUCCACUUAUCAUCAUCAAUAUUGCUAAUCAUACGGUGGUCACCCCGAGAUGUUGGCCUAUCUGUUAUCCUUCCAGGACUUGGGUAUGGUUCACGAUUGACGAUGUAUGAUUUCCCGGCUUGAACAUUCAUCAAAACAUCAGCAAUAUCAGAUCCGAUCUCGAAACCAACAGGAAGAUCAGUAUAUUGUUGUGAAAAAGUUAGUAGAAAAUCCCUAGAGUACUUUUUCCGGCUAGUAGCUUCAUUUCCUUCGUCAUCAGGUUGGUUUUUCACUCCAUUAAUCGGCUUACCAUGCUCUGAUGCUCUCAAUUUAGGGGUAGAUUCAGCAGCAUCUUCCCAAUCAUCGAUUUCAGCUUUGCCUUGUCCAUCCUCCUCAGUCACAGUAACUUCCUUUUCAUUGUCGUCUGAAGAGGUCUGACUUGGAACCGAUGCUAAAGAGCUAUUAAUGCUUUCUGAGGUAAUAGCACUUUCAUGUUUUUCCUCUGGGCCCUUGUAUGCAUUGUAAAGGUCAGGAGUUCCCGCAGCAUCCGCUUUAGAAAGAAUUUCCUUCCUCUUCUUCUUUUUUGUAGCAGUAGGCUUAGCUUUAGCCGUUUCCAAAAUCGGCUUCUCCUUAGGUGAUAAAACUGUGGAAACAGCAUCUAGUUUCUGUGACCUCUCAGGCUUAGCUGGAUCUGGAGAAGGAAUAAUUUCUUGGGUCUUAAUGUUAAGCUCCGUCGAGCCAGAAUUUAGACUCUUUUCUUUUUCAGAUUCAUUGGUAUUGGCAUCUCGAGCUGAAAGUUCUCCAUUUGCAGAUGGAAUAGUACAGUCAGAUACCGAAUCAAAUUCAGACAAGUCUGAUUUCUCUACUUUACUAGAAUCCUCCAGCAGAGAGUCAUCUGCUUCAUUGGAGGCAUCAAACUGUAGUUUUUCAUCUCUCUGUUUCAGAGCAUUUUCCUUUUCAGAACUCUCAGCUUCCACGGCUUCCUGCUUUGCCAAGACUACUGGAUCAAGCUCAGAUGAUUCAUUUGUAGCAGAAACUGGAUGAACUUUAGCCUUAUUAUAAUCCUGCGAUAAUUCAGUAGACAAAACAGUUUUUUCACAUGGCUCCUCUACUGUACUAUAUUGACUAUAUUCAUUAUCCAAAUUGAUUGACUUAGAUUCCACGCCCACAUGGGUCAAAGAAGUUGAUAUAUCUGAAUAAACCCUCUCUGUUGUUACUGAAGCAUCUUCAACCUGGGAUUUCUCCUCAGAUACUAUUUGAGAUGAGGAAGCAGCAGAUACUGACAGAUUCUCAGCUUGGUCAGAAAUUCCUACUUCCGAAGAAACCCGGAUUUCCAUAGCUGGAGAAGGCAAGAUCACUGAAGAACUUACUGACACUGGAGAUGCCUGAGAAUUCUCAGAGGUUUUAGUCACUUGCUGAAUAUUUGCAUCAGCCACUUUGCUGCUAUCCUUGGCAGCUACUGAAGACUUAGCGCCUUCUGCAAAAUCUGAUACAUCCGACUGCAAAACAACCAUACCCACUUGUCAAAUAAAAGCAAAUAAUAUACUACAAUAUCAAGAAAAAAUGACAAUGAGAAAGCAGUUAAUUUACCUGGGUUUGUUGACUAAGAUUUCUAGCAUCCCUUUUGCUCAGCUUCUUUUGAUGAUCUUUGUAAGAAUCAGAUCUUCGAACAGGUUCUCUCUUCUUUCCAUCAGUUCCCGCUGAAGAUGGUCUUGAAUCUGCAUCAGAGAUGGCAGGAGCCGAUGAUGAAGAAGUUCCAGGCUGUGUUUGCUGUGUUGAACUAUCCACAAUUGGUAUUGGAACUUUGGCCACUGAUUCAGAAACUGCCUUAGGUGGUUGUACAGAAGUUUCCGGAAGAGCUUCACCAUCCCUUUGCACAAGGGAUUUAGUAGCAUCCCCAGAUGGCCUCGACAUUUUAGGAGAUUCCGAUUUACUGCUGGGCAUACUAAUUGUUACUGGAGGAGCCCUCACAGUUACCUGGACUUGACUUGAUAAACCAGACAUUUGCAGGCCCUCCAUGUUUACCCCUUCAGAGAUGCCAUGCAGAUGGACCGGAGGCCCGGGUUUUCCACUAGACAUUGGGUUCAACACGGAUGGGCCCAUGAAAUUAAUGGGCUGUGCAGAUUGAUUGACAGGAUAACUAUAUCUCGGAGCCUGGGAUCCAGUGGGCAUCUGGCUACUCGUUAGAGGAACAGUACUAGCCGUGGGGAAGUAGAUUGGCGAAGGGUUAUAAGAGUUCGGCUGUAAAGGGGAGUAGAAAUUCAUCUGGUGAGAGGGAUUAAAUUGUGGAAUGGGCUGAGAUUGCGGGUUAACACUGGGUAGCUGCCUCUGCCCAGAAGAGACGGCAUCCACAGAUUCGGUUCUUUUAUCGAGCUUCAGCUCUUCAUGUGUAUCAGGGUGGGUAAUCUUCACAGUGGUCUUCCGUUGGGGUCCUGGCCCACUGAAUUUCCCGGGCUGCUGUGAAGGGAACUGGGGCCCCAUACCAAUUCCCAUAUUGCCUAUUUGCGGACCUAGCUGCUGACUAAUCGCAGGCCCGAAGCCAAAUCCUUGUCCUUGAUGCAUUAAAGUUUGUUGUUGCAGAGCAUGAGCCUGAAUACCAGAAACGAACAUUUGCUGCGGUGCAUUCCCCACAGACAGCGAUGCCAUUGACAUUUGUAGCGAGCUAGGCACGACUCCCUGUGAUUGGAUUGGAGGAGUUGGGCCACCGAAUUGGAGGGGAACAUGUGGCGGCUGUUGAUGUUGGUGUUGGUGUUGGUGUUGGUGUUGAUGUUGGUGCUGGUGCUGGUGUUGGUGUUGGUGUUGGAAAGGCAUAGGCAUGGGCAUUCCAGACAUAGGAAGGACCGACGAUUUGGGCGGAGCAACAACAGGUGCAGACUGGAUGGGGACAUGAACGUCCCUCUUUGUUUGGGGCGGCAGAGGAUGAGACUGAUUGGUGUUGGAUUGAUUAUUGCCAGCACCGCUACCUAUAUCCUUUCUUGCUGGUUGCUGUUGUUGCGGUUUAGGGGCAGAAGAUAUUGGAAUUUUAGGGAUUGCCACAUAGGGAUCACGACGAGCCUGGAAGAUUAAAAACGAAAAGAGAGAGGAAAAAAAUAAUAAAAAUGAUCAUUCCUGCAGAGAGAAGUAAGAUACUCCCAAAAAAAAGGAGAUUAAAAAAAGCAUCCCUUAUGAUCCAACACAUGAAGCACUAACAAGUUAUUCAGACUCUAAGUUCAGGCUGCAGCCCAAUUUCAACCAUAAAUAGUAAAAGAUGCAAUAACAAGCACAAGGAGAAAAAAAAACAUAAAAAAGUAAACCCACAAAUAGAAACUAUGAACCACACAGUCGAUAAACAUUGAGCAGUAAAAAUUGUUUACAGUCGUGAAAAUGACAAACCUGGUCUCGUUUCUGCUCGUCCAGAUUUGGAGGAGCUGAGUUUGUCCUAGCAGGAAUCUGUGAAAACAACAGUGGAUUUCCCAUGUUUGAAAAUUUUAAGGAUGUGAAAGGAAGAGCAACCUCGCUUAUGUAAAAAGAAAAGGGCAAAUAAGACAUACUUGCAUUCCGUUCAUGAUCCCUGGACUUAUACUUCCAAACUGAAGCGUAAAUGCUCUAGAUGAAUCCCCUGAAUUCAAUAUCGAAAUUAAGCAUUAAAACCUAAAUUAGCUACAAUCCUAAAACUGAAAAUCCAGACGACGAACCAGAUUUCCACAUUGAACAUAUUAGAAACUAAAAACAAAGAACUAAAUAACGGACCUUUAGCCGGCGUCGACGGUGAAGAAGAGUCUGGAGCACCGGCAGCAGACUGGGAUGGUGGAGCCUUAGGAAGCGGUCUAGGAGGGUUUCUAGGCACGGGAACGUCGACUGGUUUCGCACCAGCUGUUGCUGGUGCAUCUGAUGGCCCUGCUGAAACCAAACAACAACAAGACAUCGAUUAGUUUAACAAGAAAGAAAAGAUCUUGGGGCAUGGAAAUUAAAAAACUGAAUCCAACAGUUGAGAAAGAAGAGAUUAUGGCUCCGGUUUCUAAGCACUAAAAAGCACAGAAGAAGGAGAAGGGAAGUGCUUACCAUGAGUAGGGGCAUGGGCAUGAGCGCCGUUCUGGACGGCGCCGUGGGCAGCAUGGGCAAUAGCAGAACCCCCAUCUAUGUUAGUGCUUGUGGGAUUUAACCUAGGUUGGUUUCCAGGCCCAUUACCUGAUUUCUUGAGGCUACAAAAAGAACUCACCAUAUAAGUCCAAGAAACCCUAAUUUUUUAAAACCCUAAUUCCGAAUCAAUCAAUCCCACUGCCAAGGAAGGAGAGGGGGGCCAAAAAAAAGGUUCGCACCUUCGGUUCGAAUAUAGCGCCGGCGGAACCGACGACGAUGAGGAGGGCGUCGCCAAGUAGGUGUUGGAGGAGAGUGGAGGAGGAGGGGCGGAUCCUCCUCCUCCGCCGACGCCGGAGAAUCCCCUGUGGUGUUGGCUGGAGCCUCCCGAUCGGCCGGGUUUCCGGAAUCCUUCGCUCUUCUCUGCCCUAGAUUGAUUGAGGGACAUAAAUCCCAAUUCUUUGCUUCCUCCUCUAUACACCAAAAAUAUAAAAAAAAAAAAAACCAAAAAACAAAAUUUAAAUAAACGAUCGACACAUCAAACCCUAGAAACGAAUAACGCCUCCCGGAUCCUCGCCGAAAACCCCACCAUAAACUCCCCAAAAACACAACGAAAAAUCCGAAUCUCGACGGUUGCGUAAUGCGACGAACCUGGAUUCCGCUAGAACUAGGGAUCCAAUCCAAUCCAAUCCAAUCCAUACCUUGUUAAAGCUUCGAAAAGGCGAAGUAAGCGGGAGCUGCAGGGGGGAAGAGAGACUAGGGUUUCCUCCCCGCCUCAGUGCGAUUCGCGAGAAGAUGCAAUCAUCAGCAGUCGCGAACAAGAGAGAAGUUAGAGAGAGAGAGAGAGAGAGAGGAGACGCAAAGGUGCGAUUUUUGGAGAGAGAGAGAGAGAGAGAGAGAGAAGGGAAGGAGAGUUAGAGAAAGAAGGGGGGGGCGUGGAGGGGUAUUUUCGGGAAUUCACGCGGCGAUGGGGGGGGGUUUGUGGGGGGUGUAAAUAACAAAGUAACCCGGUAGUAGUGUUAAUCGCGGUCAAAUGGGAUCAUAAUAAGCGAAGUAGGGUUUAUUUUUGAGGCCGAGCGGCUUAAUCGCGUUCGCGCAGUGACUCUAAAUACCUACCGUGUCGCGCUUACACGUGGGCCCCACUCCUUCACCUACUAGCACUCGGAGCUUUUAAACGAACCGACCUAGUUAAAUACUAAUAUAUAUACUCCUCAUAAGGCCCGGCCCCUUAGACCCAAUUUCUCAUAUUAAUAAGAUUAUAUAACAAUCCAUAUCUAUCAAUAUCUAUAUCUACAUCUAUAUCUAUACUAUAUAUAAAAAUAUAUAAAAAUUCCGAUAAUAACAAACAAAAUUCAAAAAAAAAUAAAAAAAUAUUUCCUAUAUUUCCUACAAACGAGUAUGAUCACUUAAUUAAAAAAAUCACAAAUAACAACGAACAGUUAUGAUUAAUCUAUUAAAAAAUAACAUUCUUAUCUAUCUAUAAAUCCAAUUCUACGAACGGUUGUAUUAAUUAAAAAUGAACGUUUCACCUAAUUAAAAAAAUCUCAAAUAAGAACGACGGUUAUGAUUAAUGUGUUAAAAAAUAAUAUUCUUAUCCAAAAAUUUUAAUUAUAGUGGAUCAAAAUUAAAUUUUAAAUUUUAAAAUAAAUAUGAAUUAAAUUUUGAUGCUUUUUAUUUAAAACACAUAUUUAAAUUUUAGAUCAUUAGUGUUGGCCUAGUGGCCCUAAUCUUCUAUUAGAUUUUGAUGAUAACAAAUAAUUACGAUUAUUUGACUAAUCUUUUAUCUUGAGCUUUGUAUUUUAAAUCUCUCUAUAUUUAAAAAGGAUUCAAGAUGGGCAAUAUUCUAACAUCAAGCUUCAUCACUUGAAGCUGUGUUUGCUUCCUUUGUCAAAUAGACAAACCAUUCUUAAUUCGAUUAAUAUUUUGCCUUAUGAUUAGAGUGAGAAAUUUUGAGCUAAGUUUAAACUAUUUAUUUUAUCACCUUAUAGAUCACUUAAACAAAUUUCUAAUUUGUGAUUAGGUGAAUAGGAUUUUUAAAUAUUCAAAAAACUGCUCAAGUUCUGUGUUCUGUCAAAUUGAAAUUUCUGGAUCCUAUUCCGGGCGCCCUAAAGUGGAUCCGCAUCUUUUGAGACUUUUUAAAUCCUGCAUGUUUGCUGUUUGGGCGAUCCAGAAACUUCUGGGCACCGUUAUUUCAAAUUAGGGCAAUCAAGGCUAUUUGACUUGACAGGUUGCAUAUCAGCCCAAAAAGUUCUCACAGCAGGCGGCGCGCAAUCUGGGCACCUAGAUUUUAUGGAAGCCCAAAAAUGAUCUUGAAAGCGGCGCACGCAAUCUGGGCUGUUUGGCAAAAAAGUCAGCACGAUUUUCUAGGCGCCCACAACUUUUGACGGCUCGAAUCCAGAGAAAAACGGCGCAUGUCAGAAAAGUUGUCCCUCGAGAUCUGGGCGCUCACAAUUUCUGACGGCCCAAAUCCAGAGAAAGCGGCGCGUGUCAGAAAAGCUGUUCCUCGUGUUCUGUGCGCCCACAACUUUUGACGGCCCGAACAUACAAAGUCAAGAAAAGCGACGCACGUGGUCCGACAAGCAGCUGGCGUGCACAACUUCUGAGCGCCCGAAAACAUGUUUAGGGCGCCCGAAUGUACAACCGACAGAAGCUACCCGAGGCUAUAAAUAGAUGGUAUUGAGGCCUCUCUUUGCAGCAACUUGAUAAUUCAUUUGAGCUUAAAAACUUCAGUGAUCUUAAUACUCUUAGCUCUCAAUUCUCUUUCUAAACUUGAGUGAAAUUUGUAGUGAGAUUUAAUCUUGUAAAAAGAGAGAAAAGUAAAGUCUUGAAGCUUGAAGAAGAAGGUUUUGGUGUGAAGGCUUGGUGCUUGCCCGUAAAAGCAUCAUCUAGUGGAGAUCUAACAUUCUCGAGUGUUGAGAAGUUGGCGGGGACGUAGACAAAGUGUCGAACCUCGAAACAAAUUGAUCGUAUGCUUUUCAAGUUUGCAUUUCUUUUAUUUCCAUCGGAUUUUUGAUUUGCUUGAUUAUUUGGAUUUUUAUUUUAGAAACCUAAUUCACCCCCCCUCUUAGGUUGUCAUUUUGAUCCUCAAUUAGAAAUGAAAAAAUAUAUAAAAAUAUUUAAUGCAUAUAAAAAAAAUAUAGAAUAUUACAAAUACUUUCUAAUAAAAUAUAAAAUGUACAAAUUAUAAAUUUUUAAAUAAAUAUAAUGUGCAAAUUUAUAUUUAUUAAAAUAAAUUAAUUGUUAUGUGCAUUUGCACGUACACUCAACUAGUUACUGUAAAUAAGUGAUAAAGUAAUAACUGCAUAGUUAUAUUUAUUAUGGUAACAAGUAAGGAUGAUUAAUAUUUGUUUCAAAGUUUAUGAUAAUUCAUCUAAAUUUCCAUUGAGCUAGACUGGUGUACUAUCUGUACUACCAAGUUAUGUUUCAAUGAUACGAUUUUCAAAUCGACGAUCAGCUCCGUUAGACUUCAUCUACACUAUUAAAAGUAUUUAAAAACUAAAUUUUAUAAUUUUUCAACAUCAUUUACUUAUCAAAUGAAUAGUCUAAAAAAAAGGCUAGAAAUAAAAAUCUCAUAAAAAAUGAUGAUAAAAGACUUAAAUUUAAGAUCAGAGAUACUGAUCUUACUCUAAAUAGUAAAAAAAAAAAAUUCUAUAUAAACUUCAUCAGAUUUGAAUUGUUUUACACUGUUAAAUUCACGAACGCAUCACAUCGAUCAUUAAAAUUAUCAAUUUUGAGAUUUUUUGAUCGCUAGCCAAAUGAUGUCGAAAAAUUAUAAAAUCUAGUUUUCAAAUACUUUUAAUAGUGUAGAUCAAAUCAAAUGAAACCGAUCGUCGAUUUGAAAACUAUAUUAUUAAAAACAACUUGAUAGCACAGAGGCCUCCGUGUUACCGAUAGUAUACCAGCCUAGCUCCACACACACAUAUAUCUAAAAUAGUACUACACUAUCAUCUGAGAAUCUACUAGUGCAAUUGGUAUUAACAUUAAUUUCUUGGGCGUUCCAUUCUUCUUAUUUAUGAACUACUGCUUUUCUAUAAAUGAGCUUUGUAAUUACAGAAAUAUAAAUAGUGCUUAAAAUUGAACUACUAAAAUAGAUUUGUAGAUUCUUUAACGACUCAAUUCAGAUGACAUUUCUCUGGAAGUUUCAACUGAGUCAAGCAAUCCAUUUUCAUUCCCAAGCUUGCAUGCUCCAUUUUAACCGGCCGUAUGUAUAAAUCAGUUUAAUUGUUCAUAGGACUACUUUUUAAAAAAAAGAAAAAAGAAAAAAAAAAUGUUUAAUUGGUCCUUUCGUGGAGGCCCAAUAUGCUAUUGGGCCUCGGAACAAAACCUACAGUUUAUCGACCAACAAAAAUAAUUCUCACCAAAGAAACGCGAGUUAUAAAAAACUUAUUAAUGUCCGGUACAUAAGAUCUCAAGUUCAAAAUUUAGUUAAUUUAUAUUUUGAGUUACAUUUAUUUUUUUUUGAUAAAGAAUGACGAAACAAAUAGCAUAUUAUCAUUCUCUCUCGUAAAAAAAUUAAAAUAAAUUUAUUUUUAAUUUAUUUUUCUUUUUUUUGGCACUCUUCCUCUUAAAACAGCCAAGGGAGAGGUUGAAACAAGAAAAGAAGAAAAUGACACGUCAGUAAAAGAUGUUUUCUUGAUGUGUUUUAGGUUCAGGUGCCCAACCAAAUUGGAACUGUUUAAAGUAAAAUAUUUCCCAUGAAAGUAUAAGAUGAUAGGGAAACUUUUAUGUCGAAUUAAUGCUAACGACAUUGAUGGGUGGUGGACAAGAUAUUGUAGGAUCCUUUUUUGGGUUUUCUUAGGUAGUAAGUAGGUGGGUCAAUGGUCCACAUUUGGGUUCGAUGAUCUGAACUCUAUUCUAAUAUAUCAUUUUCUUUUUUGACCUUAAUUUUUUUUUUUUAGAGUUUCAAUAAAUAACACCUGAUACAAUAAAAAUAAAAACUUUAUAACAAGUUUAGUUAGUCAUAUUGAAAGCUUAAUAACAUUUUGCUUACACGAGUUGUAGCUAUUGUUUUUGGAUGUUGAAAAGGAAAGAGAGUUCUUCAAUGUCCCAAUCCAAUAAAUCACUAGUUCGAAUCGGUUUACACAAAGCUCCUCUUUCUUUAACCGAAAAAAGGGAGAAAAAAAAAAAACACAAACAUAAAAGCAUCCAUUAACACAAAGUAAAAGGGUGCAAUGAAAAAGCUCGAAAAUUAGGAACUCUCCACACAAAAAAAAAAAAAAGAAAAAAAAGAAAAAAAAAGUGGGGUGGGGUGGCAUGUGGUGUGGUGUGGUGUGAGACACGUCUCAUCAGAGGUACACUUANGUAACAAAAAAAAAAAAAAAAGAAAAAAAAGAAAAAAAAAGUGGGGUGGGGUGGCAUGUGGUGUGGUGUGGUGUGAGACACGUCUCAUCAGAGGUACACUUAACUCUCUUCAAACAUUUGUUUCGAUUUAGGAAGUGCGAGGGGUUUGCAUCAAUGUGACACCUGUGGUCCGUGGGCCUCAGAACGCGAGAGAGAGAGAAAGAGAGAAGCAAGCUAUUUAUGGACCGGGUUCACCAUGUCACCGUAGACCGCGAAAGUUAUGUAACUUCCAUUCCAUUGCCUUUUUAAAUCAUCAUCAUCAUCACCCCCUACUAAAUUCGAUCUUUAAUAUGAUAAUAAUAUAAUAAAAAAAUAUUAAUGUGCUGGCAUAUAUGACAAGAGACUUUCAAUUACUUUACAUAUGCGUUUUUUAUAAUGACAAUAUUACCAGAUAUCUAAAAUAUUUUGUAUAUAAUUUUUUUUUUUUAAUUUAAGGGGCAAAAUUGAAUGAUUUAUGAGUGAGAUGGCAGAUCGGGUCUACACAAUAAUUUCUCCCCAUGCGAAGGAAACGAAGGAAAAUGAAAAAAAUAUUUUUAUGGAUUCGAUUCGAUGGGACGCUCCAACAAAAAGGAUUCCCCAUUGACGAACCCACCCAGAUGGGAUUAUAUGUUGUUUGGAAAUUCUCCCAAGCACCACAUCUCCCCCCCCUUCUCUCUCUCUCUUCUUUUUUCUUAUUUUUUUUUUAUUUUUUAUUUUAAUUUUUUUUGUAAAAGAGAGGACUUUGGCUUAGUUUGGUAACGCUAUUAAAUAAAAUAAAGUUGAGAAAAAAUAUAUGGAAAUAUACUUUUGCGUUCUCCAAUAGGACCGUAGAAAAUUCUCCGAUUAAUCGCAAUAUUACGUACAGAAACACAAUCUCUCCUCAAUUCCAAGCAAAGCCUUCGUAGGCUCGGCCAAAUUCCAAAUAUAUUUCCUUUUAUGAUAUGAAGCCACAAUGAUACGGGGACUCGAUCCCGGGUCUACAGGUUGGCACUCGUCGUACCUAACGACCAUGCACGUAGGUGGUUGGGUUUACACCUUUUCUUAAGAGAAAGCGAGAACACACGUGUAAAAGUACAAAAAGUUUACUUAGCUUUUCAUGUGAUUUGGCCUGCACCUAUUUAACCAGCAAAAACCACUAACCAAUUUGUAAACCGAACUCUGUUGUAUAGAUUUUAAUAAAAAGUUAUUAUUUUACGCUUCUUUCUAAAAUUUAAACUAAUUACUUAUUUUAAUGUGAAAAUUAUCUAAAAUAUACUAACAAAAUUAAAAAUACCGUUAACCGAGUCAAACUAAAAUUUUGAAAGAUUGAGUAUCUAAAUCUAAAUGCCAACACCUCAGAUAAGUUCCCUAAAGUUUUACCUUUCCUCAAUGUACAACGACAUUGUCAACUUAUUUCACCAAAUUUGUUCAUACCAUACUAUCUCACAAGAUUAUGUUAUUUUCCACAAGGUUUCAAUAGUGUUUUCACAACUGGAAUCAAAUUACUAAAUUACGAAAAAGGAAAAAAAAGAACUUACAUUCCACAAGUUGAUUCAAGGUGAAGAUAAGAGUAUUUUCCGAGUAGUAGUUAAUUUAUGCUGGACACAUAAAACUUUAUAAUUCAUGGAAUGAGGCAUUUGCAGUGUAUCAGAG
Molecule: long non-coding RNA, 66467 nt
Filed under: Ananas comosus (pineapple)
Lineage: Eukaryota; Viridiplantae; Streptophyta; Magnoliopsida; Poales; Bromeliaceae
Description: long non-coding RNA (ACOM_LNC006380)
Source: RNAcentral